Molecule: long non-coding RNA, 60181 nt
Filed under: Cucumis sativus (cucumber)
Lineage: Eukaryota; Viridiplantae; Streptophyta; Magnoliopsida; Cucurbitales; Cucurbitaceae
Description: long non-coding RNA (CSAT_LNC002140)
Source: RNAcentral
UUUUUUUUUUUUUUUUCGAAAGUUGUUUUUGUCAUUAUGUACAUCUUUUUCCUUUUUAGGUACGAUUAUUCGGGAUAUGGUCAAUCUAGUGGAAAGGUAUGAAAUCUUAUUCUUUUUCGUGUCGAUUUGAUUCUGUUAGCAACUUUUGUAGGGGAUGGACAUCUUUGGAAUCUCGGGAUCUAUGGCUUUGUUUUUAGCUUUGUCUGUUCUAUUAUAGGAAGAGAAGUUAAGAGUGUUAUGAUUUUUUUCUUGUCAUGCUGCUUACAAGAGGGAUUAUUGAAGGGAGAAGUAGGAAGAAAUGCUCUCUGUUUUCUCUGUUUAUGCUUCCAAACCCAUGCAUUUCCUCUAAAACUGAUGGGUGAGGAGAUCAUGUUAACUUUUGAACCUACAGAUGAUAGGGUGUAUUGAGAAUACUACAAAUGACUAAAUAUACCAUGUUGAAUAAGUUUGAGCUAUCUUUUUGGUUAACUAAAAUUUAAAUAGUAUCUUCUGAGUCGAAGAUUAUUUUCUGAUUGAAAUUUGAAGUCUGGGCUUUAGCGUUCUACCGAGUUGGAUGUAGCUGACUUUUCUUUCUGGCAUUCUCCCUUUCUCCAGCCAAGUGAGCAGAAUACUUAUGCAGACAUUGAAGCUGUCUAUAGAUGCUUAGUGGAGAAGUAUGGGGCAAAGGAGGAAGAUGUUAUCUUAUAUGGGCAAUCUGUUGGCAGUGGACCCACUUUAGAUUUGGCUACUCGUUUACCGAACUUGAGGGCGGUAGUUCUUCACAGUCCGAUCUUGUCAGGUGUUCGAGUCAUGUAUCCAGUAAAGCGAACAUUCUGGUUCGACAUUUAUAAGGUGUACAUUCAUUAAUUUCUAAAUUUUACGUAAGGUUGUGUUAUGAAACUGAAUUUGAUGGUCAUUCUUCUAUUUUUUUUUUAUAUUGCAGAAUAUUGACAAAAUCCCAUUGGUCAAUUGUCCAGUUCUUGUAAUUCAUGUGAGUAUCCUUUCGAACAUCUGGUGAUUACUAAGAUCUUGAAUGCUCGAAAAUGUGGACAGUUGGUGUACUAUAGAGUAGUAACAAAGUAAGCCCUCAAACAUUGUUUGACUCAUUGGCGGAUUACCAUAAAAUUACAUUCUUAAAUGCUGUGGAAAAGGCUUAUAGGUCUUGGUUAUUUUCUUCUGAAAAAAAUUUACGUAUUAGGAGUGUAAUUACCUUGUUGUAGCAAUUCAUUCGAGCAACCAGUCAAGACACUAUAUCCUCAACUAAAAGGGUAUGAUGUCAGAAUCCCCUAUCCCACAUAUUGAAGAUCGCAAAGUUCUCUCCCUGCAGCAUUGUUUUUUGCUAAUAGGUGGCCUUUCUCCAACUUUCUGAAACUUAAAAUUACUCCAUUUGAAACAAUACUCUCUGCUGUCCUUCAGAGUUUGAAGACCUCUAACAGUUUGACAGCCAUUUGUUAAUGUAAGUUUCAUAGGCCAUGCAUUUAGCUUUUUAAGACCCACGGUAGAAACCAGAAAUCAUUAGAAGCCCAAGGACAAAUUGAAAGCCCUUUUGUUAUUCGUUGCGUCAUAGUUGUAUUCCUGCUGAUUUGAUGUAGAACCUGUAAAACAUCUUGCGAGAUAAAUAAUUUGAAGUUCGAGAAAUAGCUUUUGGUUUGGACUUCCAAAUUCUUUCAUUCCUUCCAUUUCAAAACAUAAUUGUGUUUUAUUGUGGUAAUUUUGCUGUAUCUCACUGCUACCUUGCCAAUACAAACACAAGCAUACUUCAACUAACCUAAAUUUGUAUUAUCAACCUCAAGGUUUGAGGCUGAAUCUCCUAUCCCACAUAUCAUACAAAAAGAAAAAUCACUGCUAUCUCGAUGAAUUUAACUCACUCGUUUUAGUGGAUUCUAGUUUACACAUCGCCUUAAUAGUAUAAAAGACUUAAUUUUCAUGUUUGAAGCAUGUCAUGCGGCAGUGUAGAACGAAAAGAAAAGAGACAUUAAAUUCAAUGGUGGACUUCAGGUGGAUGUAAGCUGUCUCUGUUGUUCAUAUGUACACAAGUGGCGACUGCGUGUUUCACUUUGAUGUAAAUGCCUGCCUGAUAUGUGAUAACAAAUAUGAGCCUUGAAUUAACUGGUUGAACCUUUUUAGCAUACUAACUGUUUCUUGCAUAUUAAAUGAUACACCAUUGGACAUAUGAUUGAUUACUGGAAUCUAUCUCACAAAUGGUAUUAUAUGCAUGUUCUUGUGUCUUGCUAGGGAACUGCUGAUGACGUUGUUGACUGGUCCCAUGGAAAACAACUUUGGGAUCUUUGUAAAGAGAAGUACGAGCCGUUAUGGAUAAAAGGAGGAAACCAUUGUGACUUGGAGCUUUACCCGCAAUACAUAAAGCAUCUCAAGAAGUUCAUCUCUGCCAUUGAGAAAUCACAGCCUAGGAGCGGACCUGGACUACUCACGAAUCAGCUUGAUAUUCCACGAAACAGCACUGACUUCAGAGAAAAGUCUAGACCCAGCACAGAUCAAAGAGAGAAAACCAGAAUGAGCGUUGAUAAGAGAGAAAAGCCAAGGAUUAGUACGGACUGUAGGGAAAAAGUUAAAGUUGCAAAUGCUCAUGGAGACAGGUCAAGAAAGAUGUUAGAUCGACCGGAUAAGUUGGCUACUUGUGCAGACCAGCCAGAGAAAGCAAGGAACAGUAUUGACCGGUCUGCCUACCAAUUUUGUCAUAGCUGAAACUCAUGCUGUCAUUUUGCUAUCCUCUCAUUUCUUUUCCCUGAAGUUCAUUUCAUAGCAUAUCCAUUAACAUGUUUACAAUGUCUUCUGAUAAUUUUGAGCAUUGUACUCUCUUGCAGGUUUGGGGACAUGGUGAGAUCGGUUGGAUUAUGCAAUAUCGAUUGUUUCAAACCCACGGCAACACAUGUAUAGCAGAGCGGUUUUACUCGAGUCGAAGCUUAAUUAUUCGUGAGUGUUUAACUAUUUGUUGGUUGGUUUGGUUGAAGAAGUCUAAAAGUCAUUGGUUUACACCAUUGAAAGUAAAGGUAGGAAAUUGAUUUAACCAAGGAGUAUUUAUGCAUCUUAUAUAUGCUCACAACUAAUAAAUCUAACCCUUCUCCCCCUUCUUUCAAAGUUUGAUUGUGUUUGGUGUGUGUUAACUUUGUUACCAUCUCCAACUCUUAUAGAAAUGGAGUGUUCUUCCUUCAGAAGCUUGUCAUUCAAAACUCUCUACACAAGAAGAAAAAAAAUGUUGUAUUUUUUCUUUCCCUUUUGGGAAAAUGAACAAGUUUGGAAUGUUCUUACUCUUCAUUUGGGAAUGUAAAAUCUAAUUUGAACUUGUGUUGGAAAGGGGAAAUAUGAGAAGUACUUUAUCUUGUUUUAGUAUUUCAGGCCACUUUAUUUUCUCCAUUUAUACUUUACCCUACUCUGUUUUGUUGCUGUUGUUUCAAGUAGUACAAUCAAUUUUUAGAAUGUUGUUGAGUGGAGACUUAAUUGAAACUUUUUGAAAAGAUAUAGGAAUGAGAUUGAAGCUCUAUGGUUUUAGAUUAGUUAAUGUGUAUUGUCUUUGCCAUUAUCCUCUAGGCUCUAAUGUUGGAUUCAUUUUAGUCUAUAUUUAGACAAAACUUUAUAUUAACAAAUGUUAAUAGAAGAUAUAUGAUAUUUUUUGGUUUGUGCGAGAUUGUUUAAUAACAAGGCAAAGAUAAAUUUCUCUCUACUUUGUCCUAAAAGUUUGGUUGAUAAAAGUACUUCAAAAUCUUCUAUAAACCCACCAUUUAUUCAAAACAAUAUGUAUUAGUUUAAGAUGCAAAUAAAGUAACUCUUGCUCUUGUAACUUUGACAUCUUAUCGAAGUCAUUCUUAUACGAGAAAUUGUACCUUCUUGUAUAUUGUGAAUAUGACCCGUCUAACCGCUAUUAGAGGGUCAUCUGUUUUUAAAUUUGUUAUUUUUGUAAUUUAAAAAAUGUAUGAUGUAAGUCGUGUUAUUACAAUUUUUUUGCUAUUUUUGCAAAUGCCCAUUCUUAUAUUAUUUUUUCCGACCACUAUUGAUAAGAAGAUUAUGAUGUAGUAAUCUCUCUCGUACUUAUGUUAACCUAAAAAUGCCUAAGACGGAAAGAAGUAAAUAUGAGCAAAUGACUAAGUGCUAUAUGUAUUUAAAUAUUAAUGAAAAAUAUUUUAUUGUUCUUGUAUCGAUUUAAAAAUGUUACAAUUUUAGUUGUUGAAUAUGGUUUCAAUUUAGUUUUUUUAUUUUAAAAUUAAACGAUUAUACUACUAAAAGUGACAAUUUGAUCUCUAAAUUUCUAAAUUUACAUAACCUCAAAUUUUUUUCCGGCUAAAUAUUAAGCGUCGAUAUUAACAUCUACUAUUAAUUAUUUCAAAACAACUUAAAUAAUUUUUUUUCUUACUAUUAAAAUCAAUUUUAACGUUUUAUAUUUUCAAAUAUAGCAAAAAUAAUCAAAAGAUAUUCAAUAUAUUGUAAAAUACCACCUUUGUUAGACUCUUAUUUAAUUACGAUAAAGAUGAGACAUUUUUAAAUAUAACAAAGUUAAUCAACAUAUUUACAAAUAAAAAAAUAUAUCUAAACUAUAGACUAUUAAUUAUUAUGUAUUAAUGUGUAUUUAUGGUUGAUAGAAGGUGAAAAUACACAAUUCUUCCUUAAGAGUUAUUGCUUUAACCUAAAAAUAUCCAUAGAUUAUAAACAAACAAUUUUGAUGAAUGAGUUCCAAAUUUUUCGUCAAAAUAUAAAUUUUCCUUGUUUUGAUUAUAAGUACGAAAUAUAUUUCGGAAGUUCACUUCAAUACCUAUGGUUUUGGAAGGGUUUAAGCCUUGUGGCGGCUACUUCUGCUUCGACCCCUUUGAAUUCACUUUGCUUCUACUAAAUUUUCUGUUUAUCCAACUCUUCUCUUCAAUACCACCAAAUUAUGUUCGUACCUUUCUCAUGGAACAAUUUCAUGUAGUUUAAUGCCCUUUUCCGUGUGUUCUUCCGAUUCUAACCAGCAAAGUUCCAUAAUUUUCUUCUAUUGAAACAGCCCACAAAUUCUCAUUAAAAUUCUUCAAUGAUUUCCACGUCUAUGUGGAAAACCAUUGCAAAGCGAGGUAUUUGUAGGAACCGGCAGUUUCAUCCUGAUUGGCGUUGGCUUUCCCGCUUCAAUGGCGUUCUGGGUCGUCCUAACGAGUCUUUAUUUCGCGAUAAAUUGAUUUCUGGUAAUUUUGUUCCUAGUUCACUUCCGAAGUUUGGGUCUUUUGAAAUGGGUGUUGGUCGAAGUGAAAUUUUGUCUCAGGAAGAUUACUAUAGAAGCAGAUUCUGUUUUGGGUCUAUGGGAGCUCGAAUUGGGUUAAAUGGGUUGUGCCCAAAAGGAUAUUCUAGUGUUGCUGAGGCGGUUUCUUCAACAGAUGUGGACGAAGAUGCAUCUGUUGACGGUAAAGUUCAGGAGUCAGUGCAAGAGAUGAGCAAAGAAGAGAAGAGGCUUAAACCGGUGAAGGGAAUGGGGCAAUGGAAGUAUAAUAUGCUGAGGAGGAGGCAGGUGACCAUAGAGGCUGAGGCGUGGGAAAAUGCAGCGAAGGAGUACAGGGAGCUAUUAGUGGACAUGUGUAAACAGAAGUUAGCACCUAAUUUGCCAUACGUAAAGUCCUUGUUCCUUGGCUGGUUCGAGCCUUUUCAAGAUGCUAUAAUUAAAGAGCAAGAAUUAAUCCAGGAAGGGAAGAGAUCUCGAGCUCCAUAUGCUCCUUAUUUUCUUCAAUUACCCGCUGAUAAGAUGUCAGUAAUCACAAUGCAUAAGUUGAUGGGGUUGUUGAUGAGGGGAAGUGAACACGGUAGUGUCAGGGUUGUGCAGGCUGCUUGUGCAAUAGGAGAUGCUAUUGAACAGGAGGUAUGUCGGUUUUGUGAAUGUAGACCCUCUGCCAGGUCUCUAAAGAGUUUAAUGUACUUUCUGGUUUGUUUGUUAGAUCAUUGGAAGUAACUCGAAGAUAGAUAUGAUAUAGAAAAUAAUUGAAGUAAGCUAAGAAGGGAACUUCCUCCAUUUAAUUGAAUUAGAGUUGGGAGAAAAGGUGAUCCUUCCUGUGUUGUUCUGUACUAGUUGCAAUUUCUUUGUUACUUUUUAAGGUUUUACGUUAUCAUUUUCAAAUUCCCAUCUUUUUGUAUAGACCUUACUUGAAGAGGAUCUGUUCUAUAGGUUGUACAUUUGUGUCCUUGAGUUCUAAUUCCCAUUUUUUGUAUAAUAGCUUAAGCUGCAAUAGUUGAAGCAGUAUCUUUUGAGAUUUUUAUUGUGCCUAGGUGCAAUAUGGAAGUUUUUGACUUUUAACUUAGGUUCUCAACAUGAAUUUUGUUCCACAUUCAAUUGUAAGUUUGCAACCAUAAUGUUGUUUAAUUAUGUCAGGUAAGAAUUCACAAGUUCUUGGAGAAAAAGAAAGAGAGAACGCACAACAAAGAUAAUGAGAACAAUGACCAGCCUGAUAUUGAAAGGAAGGAACAAGAGAGGUUAAGGAAAAAAGUGACCAACUUGAUUAAAAAGAAAAAGCAUCUGGCUGCAGGACAGAUAGCGAAGAGAGCCGAUGAUUCAAGACCAUGGGGCAGGGAACUCAAAGCAAAGGUCUGGGUCAUCUUUUCUAUAUACACUUCAAAAACAAUGGUUGCUUGUUAGCAACAUUUCUAAAUACUUGGUGUUUUUAGGUUGGGGCCCGUCUAAUUGAGUUGUUGAUACAAACAGCUUACAUACAACCUCCUGCUGAUCAGUUGGCCGAUGGUCCACCUGAUCCUCGCCCUGCAUUUGUUCACUCAUUGAAAACUUCGGUGAAAGACGGAACGUAAGUCAUUUAUUUAUAUCAAUCAGUCAGUCUAUAAGUUCCCCUGGUUUUUUCCUUUGUGCAUUAAAUCUUUUGAUAUAUAAAAUUGUUUCUUAUAACAUGUUUUACUUACUUGGACUUAUUAUUUUGACACUUCUGUCAGUAAUUUCAUGGGGAGACUUGGUGUCAUUGAAUGUGACCCUUUAGUCGUCAAAGGCUUAGACUGGACUGUAAGUGAAAGCUAUCCAUUUUGUUACUGGAAAAUUGGAUUGUGUCCCAUUCUUUUGCACUUUACUGCUGGACGUUACUAAUGCCAACUUCACAUUUCUUUUUGCAGUUCUCUAACUUGUUUGUUUGGUAGAAAUAGCUUCACAAUGUAAUUGCAUUUGAAAAAAAUUAGUUAAUUUGGCCCACUUCUUUGUCAAUUUUUUAUAUCAUUGGAGUUUUUCCUGCAUUAUGAACAUCCCACGGAACUUUUUGCUGCAUCUUUUCUUGCUAUAUGUUUUAUGGUUGAUGAGUUCUUUUUCUCAAACAGGCAAGACAAAUCGUGAUUCCCUAUAUGCCAAUGUUGAUGCCUCCAGUCAAAUGGAGAGGGUAUGCUAUUUCACUUGGCAUUUGUCUUCAAUCUAUUUUUCAUGUCACUUUCUUGUUAAGAUCAAUUUCCUGUUAGAAUUAAUACUGUAGAGUAGAGCAAAGCUGAGAGCUUGAGACCUUGAAGUGGGUUGAAAUUAUGGAAGCAGUAUUUUAAUAUCUUAUGAGAAUUAGUACUCUUGAACAAAUGUCACGUAUCCAGGCAUCUUGAUUGAGGUCUUUUAAGUGGGUGGAGAUAUGAAAGCAAUGAUGUCCUGAUUUGUGGAAAGUUCGAUGAGAGAUGCAUAACUAAGAAAAAUGAGAAACUUGAAAUGAGUAGACCAAGAAGAACACAAGAAAAUGUCCUUCAACUCUAACCAAUCUGUAGGAGAUAUUUAGCUCACAGUUUCAGUAAUUUUGGGCUUAUGUUCUAUCCAUGAAAAAUAAAUCUAUUAAAACCUAGGUUUGUGUGGUAUAUUUUUGGGUUGUGCAAGAGUAAUAAGUCAUAAAAUUCUUACCUCGUGUUACUUGUGUUUGGUUGUAAGUUUAUGAUGUGUAAAAAUAACCAAAUAGUUUAAAGGGUGUUUUUGUCAACCUAGGGUCAUUAGAGAAAACCACAUUUUUUCUUCUUAAGGAUAUUUCAUGUAAUAUGUCCAUAAUUUUUGCAUUAUUAUUUUUGUAGAAUUGGUAUUCUGCUGACUAAUAAAUAAGAUUGGCAUAAAAUGUUGUUUAUGCAUUGCCAUUAUGUCUAGGUUUGAACCUCAAAUUUUGACAAUAAGCUUUUGCACCUGUGUUUUUUCCCUUUUGGAAACCAAAAUUUUCCUGUUUAGCAUAAGUUUGUUUUCCUCCUGUCACAGCUAUGACAAAGGUGGACACAUCCUCUUACCAUCGUUUGCCAUGCGCACUCAUGGAGCCAAACAACAACGUGAUGCUUUUAAGAGGACCCCAAAGCAACAAUUAACUCCAGUUUUUGAGGUUCGAGAUAUAUAAAUAUUAUAAUUUCAUAUAUCUUUGUGUGUGUGUUCACCACUAUUUGAAUUACUCAGCUAGAAGUAAGCUUGUUGAAUCUUUAUAUUUUGCUUAAACUUAGGCAUGUGAUGCUCUUCCAUCUUUUCCAGGCCCUAGACACACUUGGAAAUACCAAAUGGAGAAUAAAUAAAAGGAUACUCAAUGUUGUGGAAAGAAUAUGGACCAGUGGAGGGCACCUUGCUGGUCUAGUGGAUCAGGAUGAUGUAAGUGGCUUUAUGUCAUCAUUUUUCUUGCAACUACUUUUGAUUCUAAUAUUACUUUGGUUUUUCCCUUUUCAGGUUCCAUUGCCAGAAAAACCUGAUACUGAAGAUGAAACGCUGAUAAAAAAGUGGAAAUGGGAAGUCAGAUCUGUGAAGAAAGAAAAUAUGGAGAGGCAUUCACAACGUUGUGACAUAGAGCUUAAACUUACUGUAUGGUUUCACUUGUUGCAAUAAUUAUAUCUUUUGUAAUUGAUUGUAUUUGUAUAUCCACUUCGUCUAAUUCUUCUUUUGAUGGUGGAAUAGGUAGCACGCAAAAUGAAGGAUGAGGAAGGUUUUUACUAUCCCCAUAACGUAGACUUUCGAGGCCGUGCAUAUCCUAUGCAUCCACACUUGAAUCAUCUCGGUUCAGAUCUCUGCAGAGGUAUAUUGGAGUUUGCAGAAGGUCGCUCACUCAGGAAGUCUGGCCUAAUUUGGCUGAAGAUUCACUUGGCAAAUCUUUUUGCUGGGGGCGUGGAUAAAUUAUCUCAUGAUGGUCGUAUGACAUUUAUUGAGAAUCAUUUAGAAGAUAUAUUUGACUCUGCUGACAGACCACUUGAAGGAGGACGUUGGUGGAUGAAUGCUGAGGAUCCCUUUCAGUUUUUAGCAGGAUGCAUGAAUCUUACUGAAGCUUUGAGAAGCUCUUCUCCUGAAACAUAUAUUUCACAUAUCCCAAUACACCAGGUAUUCACAUAUUGACACCUAUCAUUUUUUUUUCCCACUCUUUCAAAGAAGGAAAAAGUUCCUUUCCACUGGGGAGCAUAUAUUAUAGCUAGAAUUGGUAUUGUUAUGAAAAUAUCUGUAAUUGGGAAAAAGGCUGGAGUGAAUAGACUAAUAGGAGCUCAGCUCAAUCAGUGUACUUUUCUUGCUUUUCCAUCCAAUCUCUAGGACUAUUUGUUGCUCUACUUAUACUUAAAUUCCUCCUUGUGUGUGUAUUUGGCAUCUAAUACGCUUUAACCAUUAGAGAUAUUCUUUGUCCUUUUCUCUAUUCCCUUAACCUGCUCAUAUGUAGUGUUGUUUUGGUCUUUUUUUCGUCACUAGAGUUAAUUCUUCAUUGUACUUAUUCUUUGUAAUUUAGUAUGUUCUUGUGAUUGUGAGUUAUAUUUGGGUUGGUUUUCUUGGUCCCCCUCCACCCUUACAUGCACAACUUUUUUGAAGUUUUAAGGACAUGGGUUUCUUGUUUUCCUUAAAUUUCCUGUGCUCCUUACUCUUUCUUUUUAAUGUGAGAUUUUCUAGGAUGGUUCUUGCAACGGGUUACAGCACUAUGCUGCUCUUGGACGAGACAAGGUAGUUAAUAAUUUUGCAUCCAUUUAUUUCAUAGUGUGUCAGUGAUUGAUAUUUGUCAAUAUUAUUAUUGCUACCUUGAAAGCGCUAAAGAAUUAACUAACAGCAGUAAAAUCCCAAAUCCAUUGGACAUUCUGACUAAAAGAAAUACAUGUGAAGCUUUUGUAUAUCCUGUUCUCAUCAACAAAAGCAAAACAUUUCUUUUAAUAACAGAAACCUAAUGCAUCGUAUUCAGAUGGUUCACUUUUUGUUUCUGCCAUAUUUAGUUUAAAUUUUCACGGAUAUUGUAAGUUGAUUUAUUAACAGCAAAACUAAUUAUAUCCUUGAUUUCUUUGUACUUUCACUUGUAAUUCCUUUACUCCAUCUAGAUUUGCUUCAUCUACCGUUGGCUUCAGAUCUUGUCCUAAUGAAAGUUUUUGGUUCAGUCAGGAGCAGCUGCUGUCAAUCUGGUUGCCGGAGAGAAGCCUGCAGAUGUUUACUCGGGUAUAGCUGCUAGGUAUGUUACAUAAACUUGAAUAUGAAAUUUUUCGUGUCAAAAGCAUGUGAUUUUGUUGCUCACAAUCGCAUUAGUAAAAUUUCAGUACAAAUGCAAUCAUGACAAUAAUUUUAUUUUUCUCCUUGGGUUUUUAAUAUAAUGAGGGAGGGUUCGGUUUCAAUGGAAAAAUUUUAGCUCUUUCCGACCCUUGUAUUUUCUAAGAUGAUCGAUUGUAUGAAACAACAUAGUGGUUUGUUGAAAGGGGUCUUCUCUUUAAAGGAUGUUGAUGCAUUUUCAUUGUUCUGGGCUGUCUUUCAAGGAAAUUACUUAUCCUUAAAUAUUCCCGCCCCGCUGUCUUAAGAAAUAGAGACGUGAAAAAAUCUUUUGAGUGGGGUAGGAGUUAGGGAAUAGGUUUUGGUUGUCUCACAUGGUGCGUGUGCCUGAGCGUGACAAUCAAGAUAUCUGCUUUGGAUUUGGGCAGUCUUACUUCAAAUUAUGUCACAUUUCUGAAGUUUGUUGGAACUUGGGAUCAUCUUCACACCACACUUAAAUAUUGCUAGUAAUUGUGAUGACUUUAACCACUUUGAGGUGGAACAUUGACGAGGCAGUAGUUGAUGCCAGUGGCCUUGCAUGUUUAAAUCAUGUCUAUUUUCAGUUUUUAAUCUCCAUCAAUAAUGGAAAUCAAGUUAAAAUAAAAUUUGAAAGGAUAGAUGGAUUUGCAAGUCCUGUGGCGUCCAUAUUUUCUUGAACUUGUUUCACUUUGCCAUCCAGUCAAUGUUUAGUUGAUGGCAUACUUGGGUUUCCCCUAAUAAAAAAGAAAAAGGAAACAUAGGGAAUUUCGUUCCUUUUGUUAAUUUUCUUUAUAAAUUUUAAAUUUCAUCAGAUGUUACUUGAUAAAAAAACAAGUUAUAAAUACUUGUAUAACUCACGAUGUACCAUGUAUGAAGGAGGAGAAAAAGAAUCUCCCAGCAACGAUUGAUGAAUGAAAAACAUGAUCUCCAACUUUUGUUUGGUAAAAACACUUAAUCUUAAACAUGGAGUCUCUGAUCCUUUUGAGGAAUUUUGAUGAUCCAGAAACAAUGAAACAGACAGUUAUGUCUGAAUUCUCAGUGGGUUUCUUACUUCACCUCAAGGGAUGUACUCGAACCUGAUGUUACUAGUCUUUACAUGUAGCAGUUUGUAAACAAUCUUGAGUCUGUCAGGGACUCAAACUGAUUUUAGAAGUUGGCAUGUUACGAUACUGAUACCAUUUUAUAUAUAUUAUAUAUUUAUUGUUGUAGGGUUCUAGAAAUCUUGAAAAGGGAUGCACAAAAAGAUCCAGAAACUUUUCCAGAUGCAUUGCAUGCAAAAAUAUUAAUAGAUCAGGUUUGCUGCCAACUUGAGAUCUCGGAACAUUGAUCUAUGUAAUUACAGUGCAAAAUGGGAAAGUAUAGACUAAUUGAUGCAAUCACUGAAUAUUUUGUGACCAGAAAAAAACUGGUACUAUGUAGACCUAACUGAUGUUUAUGCUUGCUUUGAUUGUUUUUUAUCCUUAUCAAAACUCUUAUAGGUGGACAGAAAAUUGGUAAAGCAAACAGUGAUGACAUCGGUUUAUGGUGUCACCUAUAUUGGUGCUCGCGAUCAGAUCAAAAGGAGACUGAAGGAACGUGCUGCCAUAUCUGACGAUUCAGAGCUCUUUGGCUGUUCUUGCUAUGCUGCCAAGGUAGGGGGCGGGUCCUUCCAUCUUCAUUUUUGGUGCUUCUUUGAAUUAAAUGUUUGAAUGAGUGGUCAAGUAUUUAUGAAGUUCUGUAACAUAAUUUGUGAGCAGAUCACGUUGGAGGCACUAGGGGAAAUGUUUGUAGCAGCCCGUGAGAUCAUGAACUGGCUUUCUGACUGUGCAAAAGUUAGUUCUUUUCUUUGCAUUUUCCUUUAAGGGGAAAAAAAGCAUUUUGAACUCACCUUUGGCUAUGUUUGGAAAUAAUACGAAGUUUGUAUUCAAAUAGAUUAUUGCCUCAAAAAAUGAAACUGUGCGAUGGACUACACCCCUUGGAUUACCUGUUGUGCAACCAUAUCGCAAGUUGGGAAUACAUGCUGUGAGUGUUGAGGAAUUUAGAUAAUCACUAAAGCUUACCAAUCCUCUUAUGGUAGUAUUGAAGAGAUAUUCGAAGGCAUUAACUAAUCUCUGUUUGGUUUCAGAUCAAAACUUCUCUCCAAGUUUUGACACUACGACGAGAAACGGACAAGGUAGUUUUAUACUUUCACUUGAAACUACUCAUAUUAACAAUGAAUGUUAAAAUUUUCUUUUAAAAAAAUUGAUCGAAAGAAUUUUCUUUGGAUGUUGCAGAUCUUGUCGAGUAGACAGCGUACUGCUUUCCCACCAAAUUUUGUUCACUCUCUCGAUAGUUCUCAUAUGAUGAUGACUGCAGUUGCCUGCAAAAGGGCGGGUUUGAAUUUUGCAGGUUUGUCCUCAUGAAUUACUGUGUUAUGUAGGGUUUCACACUCUACCAGAGCUAACUGCUGUAUGUCAUGCGUAAUAUCAGGGGUUCAUGAUUCAUACUGGACACACGCUUGUGACGUGGAUGAAAUGAAUAGAAUACUUAGAGAGAAGUUUGUGGAACUCUAUGAAACUCCAAUACUCGAAAAUGUAAGGCUUUCCCUACCUCACAUUUCAUUUUGAACAUUAUGAGUAGCAGGUUCCUGUUUGGUUGAUGUAUAUAGUCUUAACUUGUUUGUGAUUCAGCCAAGGGGAAAAGAAGGUUUGGAUAAUUUCAUCUUCUGAAAUUUGUUGCCUCUAAUAUGCAAUAGAUUAACUUAGGAAUACUUCUUGGUUUGAAAGAAAAUGCAAUUGACGUGAGAGAGGAUUAGACAGCUCUUUGGUGAAUUUUUUUCUUCUCUUGAUAGUUUUUUGGAACAUGUGUUCUGUCCACUGCUUUUUCUUGGUGUAAAACUCAGCAUCAUUUCACUCAUUUUAGUUUAUUGUUUUUAGUCAGUAAUUGACACUCCCUUAGGUAAUAUCUUGUUUGCUGGGGUUCUCUGGUUUCAUAUCAAUGAAUUGUUUAUUUUACCAAAAAAAAAAGAAAAGAAAAGAAAAGAAAAGUAGAGAGAAUUACAAUGUCUAUCGGUGAUGACGUGUAAGCUCGUCUUUGGAAUUGGUAGUUUCUUUCUUGCUACUGAUCAGGUAGUUUAUUAAAUUCUUUUUCAAAUUAAUAGGAAGUUACAUCAUCAUGAAGAAUAUUAUUUAUCUAUCUAUUUACCACUGUUAUGUGUUAUACUUAUUGACGGUGUAACUGAGAUCUGACUAAUUGUUUACUCAGUUAUUGGAGAGCUUUGAGCAAUCUUUUCCAGCACUGGAUUUUCCUCCCCUACCCGAACGGGGAGAGUUCAACCUAAAAGAAGUUCUAGACUCGCCUUACUUCUUCAACUAAGUUUAUAUGGGUACAUUUCUCUUCACUCUUGGCUCACUUAACGGGCUCAACCGAGUUUUUCGCGGAAAAGUAUACCUUCUAUUGUACUCAACUACAUCUCAAGAGUAGUGGAUCGUGAUGCUGAGAAUCCCCGGAGCAAACUAGCCACUCCGUUGUAAUAAACAUCAGGUUCUCCUCUCUUAGAAAGCUUACUCAGGUCAACUUCUAAGGAGCUUUCGACUCAAAAUGCAGAAGAAAAUGGUCAGACAAACAAUCCUACGUAUCUUCAACUAGAGCUGCUAGACCAACAUACGGAUAAAAGCAAGAACUUCCCAUCCAUUUUCAUUCAUCAGCGACGUUUAAAAGUCGAAAUUGGCCAUAUUUUCCAGGAAGCCACAAAUGAUUCAAGAUUUCCACAGUAACAAAGGAUUACUUGUAUAUAUAUUCCCCCACUCUAUGAUUAAUAUUAAAUGUGAAAGUAAUGAAGAAAAAAAGAUCUUACCAUUCCCAUUUUCUGAAUUCAUCACAAGUUCUUCAGCUCUGGCUUGCACAUCUCUUUCUAUGUAAAUGUUUGUUGUUUUGCCAUCUGAAUUUUUGUAUUCGUUUCUCUUGUUUGGUAAGGAAAUGAGCUGACAGUAUAUCUAUUUGACAAAUGAUAAGUUGAUUUGCACAAAAGUGUGCUAGUGCUAGUGUUACAUAUCACAUAACAUAUUCUCAUCUUUUAAAUUAUGUGUCAAAUGUUCUAUAUUGUCACUUUCUAUUUGUCAUUAACUCUAAUACUUGUGUAAUCAUUAAACUAAAUUAAAUUUAUGUUACAAAACAAAUUAAAAAUAAAGUUAAAUUACAAUUUACAAUUUUUUAAUCUAACCUUGUGUUAAUUUUGAUCCUUCUUUUAAAUAUUUUCUAAUAGGUACUUUGUUAUUAAAAAUUCAAUAUAAGAUUGAAUUUGGGAUAAGACUAACUAAAAUUACCAAAAACAAUUUACAAAUAUUGUUUUAAAUGAUUUAUUUGACUAACUAAAAUUACCAAAAACAAUUUACAAAUAUUGUUUUAAAUGAUUUAUUUGGUAAUCAAAAUGAAUAACAAUUUUAUAGAGUAAGAUCAAUACUAUAUGUCAAAUCAAAUGCCUUAUGUUUUGAAUAACAUGACAUAAGGGUUGAGUUGGGUUAGCAAAUGAGUCGAUGAGUUGGGUUAGCAAAUGAGUCAACAUAGGAUUGAGGUUGAGUUGGGUUAGCAAAUGAGUCGAUGAGUUGGGUUAGCAAAUGAGUCGACAUAGGAUUGAGGUUGAGUUGGGUUAGCAAAUGAGUCGACGAGUUGGGUUAGCAAAUGAGUUGAGUUGGGUUAGCAAAUGAGUCGAUGAGUUGGGUUAGCAAAUGAGUCGACAUAGGAUUGAGGUUGAGUUGGGUUAACAAAUGAGUCGACGAGUUGGGUUAGCAAAUGAGUCGACAUAAGAUUGAGUUGGGUUAGAAAAUGAGUCAGACAGGCAAGGUCGGGUUGGCCGGUUAUAAUGUAUAUAUAUAUAAAAGCCCCUAUCUUCUCUUCCCAGCCCCCCUUAGCAGACUCUCUUUCCAGCCUUCCAAACGUCUCCUCACCUCCUCAUUUCCUCUGCCAGCAAAAAUCAUCUCCUCCGAUUUUGCCGGUCACACUUGUCACUCUCGUGGAAGCUCCUCCAUGGUCGAUGCUCUCUCCAUCACACUUGGUCCCUUACAGAACUGAAAGGGCCUGAACCCAUUUCGUAAAACUCUGAUUCAGUCACUGACGGAUGACUUCAUGAGUGAAAAUGGGUUACCUAAUUUGCACGGUCGCUCCAUUAUGGCGCUAGAGUAAUUCUUUCAAUGAUGAGGAGAAGGACUCGAAGUGUGUGGUCUGGUCAGUUAUCUCCACUUAAGCAUUGCCAUUAUUUUUUGUUUUUCAGUUCCAAUUUAUCACUCGGACCGACAAUAAAAAUUUGAGAACAGAAUGGUGGGUUAUGGGGAAAAUCCUUCGUUCAUUGUAGGCUACCAAAUUGUUUUUGCAUUUGAUGUAGUGGGGUUUUGUUUUAAUCUUUUGGGUAAGAUUAUUUUGUCUGUUUCUUUUCAAGGAGGUUUGAAAUUUCUCUUGUUCUUAGUGACUGUUUUCUUCUUCUGCAGGCUCACUGAUUUUGAAUGGUUACACCUGGAUUGUAAGCUUCGCUGUUCUUUUUGUGUUUAGAAAGUUAUGAGAGGAGUGCUAGGAAAUUCAUCUCCUACUCUGGUUUUGUUGAAUGAGUUUAAUUACCAACAUGAUUCACAUUACCCUUUUAGAAGGGAGGAUAAGCGUUUGCGUCAAUGUAUAAAUGUUAAUCCAAUGUUGAAAUCAUGGAUGAGAUGUACGAUUAUGUAUGAUGGUAAUGCAGUUUCGGUGUUACCAAGGAGUACUCCACGGUUGAAUUUGGUGGUUCAGUCUACAAGGGGCGUGAAUUGUGGAGAGGAUGAAGCAAUUGAAUUGGUCAUUGACGAAGGAGUUGAAGAAUCCUCUCGUGAGUGGAAAUUGCCUCCUUGGGGAGACAUAGCACAUCAGGAUGAGGCAACCUUUCAAUCUGAAGAUGUAAACCAGCCCAAAAUCUUAGAAGGGAAGGUUUUGGAAAAUGAAAGCAAGCUGCAUUUUCUUGAGGAAACUGAUAAAGUUAUGCUAUCAAAGCGUAUUUUAAUUCUCAGUAGAAAAAAUAAGGUUAGAAGUGCAUUGGAGUUAUUGAGGUCCAUGCAAUUAGCUGGUCUUCUGCCAAGUCUGCAUGCUUUAAAUUCACUUUUAGCUUGUCUUUUGAGGAAUGAGCUAUUUGCUGAUGGUUUAAGAAUCUUCGAGUUUAUGAAGUUGAAUGAGUUAUCAACAGGACACACUUAUAGCCUUGUACUCAAAGCAGUUGCAAAUGCUCAUGGAUUUCUUUCUGCUCUUGAGAUGUUUAAGGCAUGGGAGCAUCAAUGUGUCUUAGCACAGUUUGAUGCAAUUGUUUACAACACAAUGAUAUCAAUAUGUGGUAAAGAUAAUAAUUGGGUUGAAGCUGAGAGAACAUGGAGACUAAUGGAGAAAAAUGGUUGUAGUGCAACCCGCAUAACUUAUUCUCUAUUGGUGAGCACUUUUGUUCGAUGUAACCAGAAUGAACUUGCAAUUGACACCUAUGUAAAGAUGGUUCAAAAUUCUUUUAAACCAGGUAACGAUACGAUGCAAGCUAUUAUUGGUGCAUCUUCAAAGGAGGGGAAGUGGGAUUUUGCUUUAAGAGUCUUUCAAGACAUGUUGAAAUGUGGACUUCAACCUAAUUCGGUUUCAUUUAAUGCCUUGAUCAAUGCUUUAGGAAAAGCUAAGGAGGUCACUUUAGCAUUCAGCGUAUACAAUGUGAUGAAAUCUAUGGGUCAUUCACCUGAUGUUUAUACAUGGAAUGCACUACUUGGUGCUCUUUACAAAGCUAACCGCUACAGUGAUGCCAUUCAUCUCUUUGAGUUUGUGAAAAGAGAGAAGGUCCAAUUGAAUAUACAUAUUUACAACACUAUUCUAAUGUCUUGUUCAAAGCUUGGGUUAUGGGAAAGAGCGGUCCAAAUUUUAUGGGAAAUGGAGGUUUCUGGUCUGUCAAUUUCGACAUCAUCAUAUAACAUUGUUAUGACUGCAUGUGAGAUGGCUAGGAAGCCUGAAAUUGCAUUGCAAGUUUAUGAACGCAUGGUUCACCAGAAGCACACUCCCGAUACCUUCACUCAUUUGUCACUUAUCAGAUGCUGCAUUUGGGGAUCUUUAUGGGAUGAAGUGGAACUACUUCUAAAUGUAAGUGCUUAAUUCUAUAACUGUGUUGGUUCUGUAUCUUUGUACUAUUUUAAAGGCACACAGAUCUUCCCCAAUAGAAAUUUAGUUCUAACUUUCCCCCCCGUAGUUCUCCUUCCAUCUUUGGUAAAUUUAUGUCUUCCAUGCAAAUUAAUUCAAUACUCUAUUUUCCAAGGGUGAGUUGAAAAACAUCAUGAAUCCAUGUAAUUGAAUUGGAAAAGGAGACCUCCAAUCUAACCACAUUAUGGUUUUUGAGUUUUUAUUUAUAAGAAACAAUAUCAUUGAAUGAAUGAAAUAUCCAAAGAUAUACAAAAUAACCCUAUCAAAGGGUAUACAUAAAGAUGCUUCCAAUUUGAAAUGAGAAAAGAGAAAUUAUGAUUCUUUAGUGUGUAUCCUUACACCAAAAAGGGAAUUAGUAGCAGCUAACUCUAAGACCUCCCUGGAAGACUUGACGUUGUCUUGAAAUAUCCUUGCAUUUCUUUCUUCCCAAUCCUUCCACAAAAUAGCUGAGAUGAUAUUCUAGAUACCUUUUUUUGUCAGCAUUGAAAGGAUGAUCAAUAAGCAAGAACGUUAUAUGACUAGUGGAGUGAUGCUGCUGUUCCAGAACUUUGAGAUUGUUUAAUGUUAUUGCUGCUGCCGCCUUGAAUGUUGUUGUUGGUUUUUUUCCCGAUGAUCUCAUUCGACAUUUCCUGAUAUUCUCUCAAUAUUUCUGAACCUCCCUCGUUUUCAUUCAACUGUUUUGACAUUUUGCAUUGGAAUUAUGAGCUUUUUGUAUCUGAUAAUUGUUCUUCUGCAGAAGUCUGCACCCGAUGUAUCCGUAUACAAUGUUGUCAUCCAAGGAAUGUGCUUAAGAGGCAAGAGUGAUUUAGCGAAAAAGCUUUACACAAAGAUGCGUGAAAACGGUAUCCAACCGGAUGGAAAAACACGAGCUUUGAUGCUUCAGAACUUGCCAAAGGAUCCUGCUAGACGGAAGAACAGGUGGGCUUCUGGUUUCAAGAAAAGACAGAGACACUAUCAUCAUAGGUGAAAAUUAAUGUAAAAGUUGGUGUGUAUGAAGUACAUAUUGUACAUACUUAAAUCUAGCCCAUGGCCUUUGUUGUUGUACAGCUGAGAAGAACGAUUAGUUAAUUGAAUGUGUUGACUUAUAAUUCCAUUUACAACCUAUUUUCUCCUAUCCUAAUUCAAACUUUGAAAUUCAAUUUUGAACCAUAUUUUUUAAAAUGUUUAAUUCUCACCUGAUCUUUAAGUUCAAAUCUUUACAAUAAAAUUUUAUUUAACUAAAAAGAAAAUGUUAAUUUAUUACCUAAUCUUAAAUGUUUUUAUUAAUUAAAACUCUAAAUAAAUAAUUAUACUAAUUUGAACUUUCAUUUUGCAAUACACUCUCCCUUUCUCUUCCCUGUGAAUUUGAUUCGGUUAGAUUUCGAAUACUUUGUCACUUAGAACUCUACCCAUGAAGCUUAUUAGAAAAUAGCCAUGGCGGCAACUUCAAAAUCCCUCUACAUAUAUAUAUAUAUAUAUAUAUAUAUAUAUAUAUAUGUAUGCAUAAGCUUCUUUUUAUAUUUGAAAACUCUAAACGAUGAAGAUGAUGAUAUUUACAAAAUUGCCACUCGUGAAGAAUUUACUUAAAUGCCAUUGGGCAUAAUUAUGCAAUUGCCCUUAACUUAGAACAACUAAAUAUUUUGCAAUUUUGUGUUUUAAUUUAGCUUGUGAUAAUUUGUAUUUGAUUUCUAAUUUCUAAUUAUUUGACAUUUAAUAGUGUGUUAUUUCUAUUUAAUUGUUAUAACUUGUAUUUGCGUUCUUCAUCUGGGUUAUCUUAUUGUGAAGACUUUCUUGUCAGCAUUCUUUUUCAAUCACUUAAAACAUAAACCGAAUUAGAAAUUAGUAUAAAAUAGUAAUGAGAAGGUAACCACAUGAUCGUUAGAAAGUGUAAAAUGAUAUUGUACAAGUAAUAAGAUAUUAGUCACGUGGUAAUCAUAAAGUAAUGCUAUCAGAUGACUACCUAAAUUUAAAACAACAUAUAUGUAUCAGACAGUCAUUAGUCUAUUAUAAAGCUAUCAGACAUAUAUAAAAAAACUAUCAAAGGGCUACCCAAAUUUAAAACAGCUCAUAUGUAUAAUGUAUUUGGCUAUCACAAACUAAUUUGUUAUAUCAUACGACUAUGAGAAGUUUAUCAUACAAAUUUUAAAACUAUAAAAAAGGCUACCAAAUUUAAAACAACACAUAAGUAUUAGACGACUAUAAAAAAUAAUUAGAUAUAUGAAACAACUAUGAAAAUGCUAUCCAAAUUAAGAAGAAGAAUGAAUUAGCACGCAAUAAAUUCGAAACGAGGGUAGUUUCGUUUUUUCUUUUCGGUUCAUUGACGAUUUUAAGUUGAAUUUAUAAAUUUGUUACUUUUACAAUUUAAAAAACGACAUGAAUUUUAUCGUAAAUGUUUUGCUACUUUUACAAACAUCUCAUUUUUUCUUUUAAUAAAAUAUACAAAUAUUUGAGAAUUAAUUACGCUAUGUAAUUCUAAUAAAUAUUCUAAAUAGAUUCUCUAGUGCAUAAACAUUGUAAUUGUUUAGCGAUCAUUAAAAUUAUUUAUAAAAUAUAGUAAAAAAUCGGACAAAAUAGUGUCUUGAUUUUUAGAGAUUACGUUGAUUUAUGGAAUGGAGAUAUUUUUGUAUGUAUAUAUUUAUAUUUUACAAAUUUUUGAUUUAAAAUAAGUUAUAGGUUAAUAACAUAAAAAAAAAAAGAAAAAUUGUCAUGAAUAUAUAAAAAGAAAAACUUUAUGGCGAAUAUAACAAAAAAUUGAUGAGUUUUGCUUUUUAUAUUUUUGCUAAUUUUUAAAAUGUUAAUGAAAAAAAUACAUAAAAUUAGUUGUUGAAUUGGCAAAAGAGAAAAAAUAAAAUAAAAAAUCGACCGAAAAUUUGUUGUAUGUUGGGAAGAAGAUGAUCCGCAGCUGUUAUUCCAUUUCUUCUUGAUUCAAUUUCCAUCAAUUCUCAAUCUUCAUGAUGAAAUUCUGUGAAAAAUGAAGCAUCUUCCUCUCGAAUUCUUGCACGGUUUCCGCCAGAUCCUAUACGCCUUCCUACACAAAGCUCCAUUGCUUCUUCUUCUUCAUCAAAUCCCCUUUUUUUCAUCUGAAUUCUCUUCUGAUUUCUAGGGAUUUCUACUCUCAUCUUCCUUUACCUGUUUUACUUUCUGGGUUUCUUUCUUUCUUCCUCAUGAACCCACCCUUGUCGAUGUAGCGAUCUUCUUGAUGUCUCUUGUCGAGCGGCUUCUGAAAUUACAACCCUGAACUCUCGGAACCAAAUCAAGGGGAUUUGUGAUUCAUCCAAGCGUUACUCAAGGAAAGAGGGGUUGUGAAGUUUAUGCUAGCUUAGUGUGAUUAUGGUGAGUAUGGUCAAAGACGGGAAGGCUGGAAGUGCUGCUAAGCUUAUAGUUGAUGCUCUGCUUCAGCGGUUCCUCCCCCUUGCUCGGCGUCGAAUCGAGACCGCUCAAGCUCAGGUUCAGUUUUUGCUUUUGUUUCCCCUCUAGAAAAUUUCAUGGGCAGUUCUCUUAGUCCCCCAUCUCAAAUAAGAAGAUGAAGAAUGGGUUAUAAUAAUCAAUUUUGUUGUAAAUUUGAAGUUUUUUGAUGGUGGUUGUUUGUGUAAUAUCCUCUCUGAUGAAUCAAGGUUGUAUAGCGUAUAUUUUCUGGAACUCCAAUAGAUUGUUUUCUGUUUUUCUGGGUGCCAUUAGUCCAGUGCUUAUUGAUGAGUAUAUUGUAUUGUUGUUCUCUGCAUUCUGAUGGCAGCACGUAUUGAAAUCCAUUUUUCAUGCCCAUUUUUGUUGUCUAAUACUUUUUAGUCUUUUGUAAACAGUCCUCCACUUUAUUAACUUGUCUGUUUCCAAUUUGUAGGAUGGACAAUAUCUUCGACCAUCGGAUCCUGCCUACGAGCAAGUGCUGGAUUCCUUAGCUAUGGUUGCGAGACACACACCUGUGCCUCUUUUAGAGGCUCUUCUUCGAUGGAGAGAAAGGUGCCUCAACUUUUCCAGUCUUCUUUCUAUUUUCACGCUUCCUUCUACUCUGUGUGACGACCUUAACAAAUCAACACAUAUAUUUGUUCUAUAUGUUGUACAACUGUGUCUUUGAGUUUCUAGGGGAACUUUUUGCGUCUGCCUUCUUUGUUAGUGUCAGUUUAUUAGGUUGAACCAAACACUAACUUGCUUUUCACGGAAAAUUGGAAUUAGUUUAGGAGAAAGUCUUUUUCUUUUAUUAUUUAUUAUGUAAUAUUUGCUUAGCUAACAUUCGUUGACGACGUCUAAUUUUUUGAAGCUUUUUAGAAAAUGAAUACAGGCAACUUAUCGUAAUUUUGUUGCAUGUAUCUGUGUGUUGAUUUUCUUUAUUUUUUUAUGAUCACAAACAGCGCCCUACAAAUUAAUAAAACGUAAAUUGUUCCUGAAAAAUUCAACUAAAAUAAGAUGAUAAACAUUCUCAUGUCAAGGAAACUGAGAUUGUGAAGAAGUUUCUAUUGGCAGUGUAGUUAAACAGAUGUCUCAUUUCCUGCACCUAGGUUGUUGUUGCGCUUAAUAAUAGAUUCCUUCCAUUUCCUAAUAUAUAUUAUAAUGAAAUAAUAAAACAUGUAUAUAUAGAUACACAUUAUGACGAUGGCCUAUAAUGGGAGUGUGGAUGUUCACAUGGAGCUAUUUUGUAUAGUUUUUGACUUUUGUUCUUUAAAGUUCUCCAUCCUUUUGCCUUGAUGUUUGCCCUUUAAGAUAUUUUUCUAGGCUAAGAGACUGCAGUCAAAGAAAACUUUUUCUUCCAAAAGAGAAAAAAAAGGGAAAAAAGAAAGAAAUUCUUUUGAUGGUUUAUUUAUAUUUUCUCUUUCCCCCCUCAUUGCAGCGAAUCUCCCAAGGGUGCAAAUGAUGCAUCUACUUUCCAAAGAAAGGUUUGCUUAUUCUGUGAAAACUAUUUAAUAUUGCUGUCGUUAUUAUUUUGUUUCAAAAUAAUUUGUACCAAUAGAGAGAUGGAUAGUGUUUUUGAUAUGGGGGUUACUUUAAAAUCCCUUGUCCAGAGAUGUUUGCUUUAUUAACUUGAAGUUAUAAUGAUAUGCAUGCUUGGGGCUUAGCUUGCAGUUGAGUGCAUAUUUUGCUCAGCGUGUAUUCGCUUUGUGGAGUGCUGCCCUCAGGAAGGACUUACUGGUGCGCACAUUGUUGUAUCAAUUUUUUUUUGUUUUUUUCUCUUUUUUCUUUUGUAGCUAAUUGAUAGCGGUUUAUCAUUGUAGAGAAGCUUUGGUCUGGCCUUGAAAACUUCGUUUUUGAUUGGCUAAUUAAUGCUGACAGGUAAGGUUGCUUUGGCAUAGUUAAUGAACAAUGCAGUUUUUUAUUUUCUUUUUGGCGUGGGUAUAACGUUUCAUUAAAAUAAAUAGACCAUAUGAAAUUUAGUAAUUGCUUGAAUGACUUCAAAAUUUCCUUUCCUUAUUGUUGAUUUUUUCCAUAUACAGUGGUAAGUGCUAUUUUAUUAUUAUUAUUUUUAUUUUUUUUAAAAAUGUUCUUUUGUUUUUUUGUUUUUGUUUGAGUUUUGGUGGUUUUGUUUUGAGUCUUGCCUUGAUACUGAGGAUAGGAGUUUGGUAACUUGCAACUUUUCAAAUAUCAACGAAAGUUUUGCGUUUCAUGUUCAAAAAGAGAAAAGAAAGAAAGAAAGCCGGAGGAUAGCAUUGAAGUUUUGCUUGUGCAGUGUUAUUAUUCUUCAAUUUUCACCAGUAACUUAUAAGUAUUGUUAUUAGAUUUAUCGCCUUUGUUUAUUAGGCAGGACCUAUGAUCAUUAUUAGACAAUGACUUCAAUGCCCAGUUAUAGGCAAACAAUCUAGGGAGACUUGCUUGUAUUUAUACCUUCUGUUUUCAUUAUUGAAAGGAAACAAAACUUAGGUUUGGUUAAAUGUCAUUGCAGGGUUGUCAGCCAGGUUGAAUAUCCAUCAUUAGUUGAUUUGCGAGGGCUUCUUUUGGAUCUUGUUGCACAACUUUUAGGUGCUUUAUCUCGCAUCAGGUAAACAAUUUUGUUUUACCAUUUAAAAAUUGUUUGAGUUGGAUUUUUUGGGUGUAAUACUUUUGGAGUAAUUAUCGGGUUUACGUAAGCAUUUGUUUAUCAUGCAUGCAUGUCAAUUGAUACUUGCUUUAUUUUAAUGUUUUAGGAUCAGUAUGAACUAGUUCUGCUUUGCACUUCUCUCUCCCAUCACAAGCUUAUGUUUAUAUUUGUUUUACUUUAAUUAAAAGGGAUGAAAACAUUGGUGCCUGUGUCAUUAUUUUGCAGAUUUAGUUCUGUGACUGAACGCUUCUUCAUGGAACUCAAUACACGUAGGAUAGACACCAGUGUUGCACGAAGUGAAACUCUUAGUAUCAUCAAUGGGAUGCGCUACCUUAAGCUUGGGGUAUGCAUAUAGCUUUUAUUUAUGCAAGGUCAUGUAAGGACAAUGACAUACUUUUAUUUAUGCAAAGUUAUCUAAAGAUAAUAGGAUAAUAUCAACUACAAUUCCUAGGUUAAGACCGAGGGAGGACUGAAUGCAUCUGCCUGCUUUGUGGCUAAAGCCAACCCUCUCAAUCGUGCUCCACAUAAGCGCAAAAGUGAGCUUCACCAUGCACUCUGCAACAUGCUUUCAAACAUCCUUGCUCCACUGGCAGAUGGAGGUAAAGGCCAAUGGCCACCUUCUGGGGUCGAACGUGCACUUACCUUAUGGUAUGAAGCUGUUGGACGAAUUCGAACACAGCUGAUGCAUUGGAUGGAUAAACAGAGCAAACACAUAACUGUAAGUGGGAUCUGUUUUGCUCCCUCCUGUGAGAAAUUCAAUAUUUUAUUUUAUACAUUAAAGCUAUAAAUUUGGGAUGGAGUUUCAGUUUUUUCUUUUUUGGCUCUUUGGCAUGAAAAUUUUGUGUCUGAAGAGUCAGCCUUAAUUACCUAAACUAUACUCCGGAUAUACUGUUUGGAGUUAAAUAUAUGCUAAAGUAAUUAUAUUUCUAACAGCUAGAUACUGCUAAAAAUUGGUUGGUUAAAAGAUAGUUUCCCAAAUUGAUGAGAUUGUCUUCUCUGGGAAUAGCUAAGCAAUACUUUGGUUGGCUAGAUAACUAUGAUGGCGUCAUAAUAUUUUUGGAUUUUUUAUGUUAACAUUCUUCUUCAUAUCCAUGUCUGUUUUUCCUCUUGUGCUUUACGCUAGUGUUCUUUGUGUUCUAGGUUGGUUAUCCAUUGGUCACUCUUCUUCUCUGUCUUGGCGACCCUCAAAUAUUUCACAACAACUUGAGUCCCCACAUGGAGCAACUCUACAAGCUUCUUAGAGUAAGUUCCAUUUACUUUUGAACUAAGGAGGUAAAUGAGAACUUCAACUAAUUCUAAUAAGAUCCUUGACACUUUUUCAAUGUUUGAUGUGGGAAGUUUCUUCAAAAGGAGACUGAAAUAUGCCAUCCUGUUUCCAUUGCCCAAAUUCACGAAACUUUAUUUUGAUUGUGCAGGACAAAAAUCAUCGAUUUAUGGCCUUGGACUGUCUUCAUCGGGUUUUAAGGUUUUACUUGAGUGUUCAUGCAGCUAAUCAGGCCCCAAAUCGUAUAUGGGAUUACUUAGAUAGUGUGACAUCUCAACUGCUUACGGUUCUAAAGAAAGGAUUGCUUACUCAAGAUGUUCAACAUGAUAAACUAGUUGAAUUUUGUGUGACUAUUGCGGAACAUAAUCUUGAUUUUGCCAUGAACCACUUGUUGUUGGAACUAUUAAAACAAGAUAGUUCUGGUGAGGCAAAAGUCAUCGGCCUUCGUGCUCUCCUUGCCAUUGUUACAUCUCCUUCAGGCCAGCACACUGGCUUGGAGAUAUUUAGAGGUAACCAACUAGUUAGGAGCCUCUGUUGUCAAAAUCUUUGUUUUCUUAAUCUAAUCAACUUUGUUGCAUUAGCAGGUCAUGAUAUUGGCCACUAUAUUCCCAAGGUGAAGGCAGCAAUUGAAUCAAUUUUAAGGUCUUGUCAUAGAAUAUACAGUCAGGCUCUUCUAACUUCUUCAAGGACCAACAUUGGUAAUUUGUUUUCAUGUUUUACAUGUUGGUUUGAAGGAAGAUAGUAGAAUGAGAAAAAGGAUAAACCAUGGAAAUCUAGCCUGAUUAUUGUUCUUAUUAUUGUUAAUGUUGUAAUCCUUACUAUUAUGCUUCAGGUCUUUGAGGUGCAUAAUAGGAGAGUCUGCUUAACUUGAUAAUAAGAUGAGAUUACAAAAGUGUACUUGGUGCUUACAUGUUUGGCAUGAUGAACACCUUACUGCUAAAUUAUGUUGUCUGAACUGCCAUAUAAGAGUCAAAAGUAAAAUCUUCAACAUUAAAUGGUUUUGAAUCAGCACCCCAGGAAGUAAUCCUAGUUUUAAUAAAUCUAUAAACGUGGUUUUCUUUGUACAUAAUUUUAAAAAAUCCUGUGAUUAUAUCUGAAGUUAGUGAAGAACCACAUGCUACCUACAAAACUUUUCUUCUUUGUGAAGUUGACAAUCUCCAAUUAUCGGAUCUUGUGAAUUUAUAUUUGUUUUAGAUGUUGCGUGCUACUGACAAGAAUGGUUCGGGUCUCUUUUGUUGGUAUUGUUUUGCCUGUUUCAUGACAUGCUAAUUUAAACUUUAGAUCGUUUAAUCUUUAACAUUUCUCUUCUUUCUAUAGUUUAAUGUUUGUCUACUCAAGUUAAACUUAUCACUUGAUCUUAUCUUUCCUAUAGUAAAAGAUCCAGCUUUUUAUUUUUUAUGGGAAAAUGAAAAAUUAAUUAUUCUGUUUUCAGAUUCUGUAACAAAGGAGAAGUCCCAAGGAUAUCUAUUCCGGUCAGUCCUGAAGUGCAUACCGUAUUUGAUCGAAGAAGUUGGAAGAAGUGAUAAAAUAACUGAGAUAAUACCUCAGCAUGGAAUUAGUAUUGAUCCUGGUGUUCGUGAAGAAGCAGUUCAGGUAUUGAACCGGAUAGUAAGAUAUCUUCCUCAUCGUCGCUUUGCAGUAAUGCGAGGGAUGGCUAACUUCAUCUUACGGCUUCCGGAUGAAUUUCCACUUCUUAUACAAACAUCACUGGGGCGCUUAUUGGAGCUAAUGCGAUUUUGGAGAGCUUGUUUGAUUGAGGAUCGUUUGGAAAAUGAUGUGCAUGAUGAAAAGCGCACAGUUCAAAGAACUGAUGGGUUCAAGAAGCCGUCAUUUCAUCAGUCAGGAGAAGUAGUUGAAUUUCGUGCUUCUGAAAUAGAUGCAGUUGGUUUGAUCUUCCUUAGUUCUGUGGAUAGUCAAAUUAGGCAUACAGCAUUGGAGUUAUUACGCUGUGUACGUGCCUUGCGGAACGACAUUCGAGACCUUGCAAUGCUUGACCAACCAGAUUAUACUCUUAAAUAUGACGCCGAACCAAUAUUUAUCAUAGAUGUCCUAGAGGAGCAUGGGGUAUUUUUCUUUCAAUGUUUUUUGCAUGUCUUUGCUGUUUUUUUUCACUUUACCCACCGAACUGCUAGGAUUUGAUGAUAUGUCAAACUUGAUUUAUCAACUACAGGAUGAUAUCGUUCAAAACUGUUACUGGGAUUCUGGGCGCCCGUUUGAUUUGAAGCGAGAAUCUGAUACAAUACCUCCAGAUGUUACUCUUCAGUCCAUAAUAUUUGAAAGCCCUGAUAAGAACAGGUGGGCACGCUGUCUCAGUGAGUUGGUUAAGUACUCUUCUGAGCUGUGCCCAAGUUCUGUUCAGGAAGCAAGGUAAAUAUUGCCUUUCUCAAAAUUAUGCUUUCUUGACAAUUAUAAUUUAAAGAAUUGGGCCUAAUCUUGUAUGAGUUGCUCCCAACAUGGAACCCUAUUAUGUCUCUCUGAGAUUUAAUGGCCAAUAUUGAAAGUUUCUACUCCAGGAUGUGCUUUGUAAACAAAAUUUUGGUUGGCAGGGUUGAGGUUUUGCAACGUCUUGCUCAUGUCACACCAGUUGAUUUAGGUGGAAAGGCUCAUCCAUCUCAAGAUUCAGACAACAAAUUGGAUCAGUGGUUAAUGUAUGCGAUGUUCUUAUGUUCGUGCCCACCAGCUCCCAGAGAAAGUCCUGCCUCGGGAAAAGCCAAAGAUCUUUAUCACCUUAUUUUUCCUUCAAUAAAGUCUGGAUCAGAAUCCCACGUGGUGAGCACAUUUUCUAGAUAAAUUUUCUGCCUCAACUUUCCAUCUUCCUUUCCCUUUUUUGGGCCUCUUAUGGGUCGUCAAUUGUUAAAAUUGAAUUUGUAAGUUUGCUUGUUUAUUACCUAACUACAUUAAAUUUACCUAUUGAUACUGAAGUUUGUCAGUGUUCCUAUUUCAGCAUGCAGCGACCAUGGCUCUUGGCCACUCGCAUUUUGAAGCAUGUGAAUUAAUGUUCAGCGAGCUAGCAUCUUUUAUUGAUGAGGUUUCCAUGGAGACGGAGGGAAAGCCAAAAUGGAAGGUAUUAUCCAAGAUUUAAUCGAGGUGCAUUAUCCUUUAUUAAAUGAUAUUUGUGAAGCAGUGUCAAAAUUUGUACACUGGGAGUGUAGAUAAUUACAGAAGUACACUGGGAGUGUAGAUAAACUAUACUUACAAAAAGGUUGUCUAAUUUGCACCAAGAUAAUGCAAAAAUGGAAAUAGAAUCUUCUGAAUCAGAAGAAGUAAUACUCACUAAAGCCAAAUUUUUUUACUCACAAGUAUAAUCCAAACAAUGGAAUUGGAACAUUGACCCAGUAGAAAUAUAGUAUUUUUCUUUAUUGUUUCAUUAUGGAAUUUUCAUAUGAGACAACAAAAACAAGUAAGUAACUGAGAAGAAGAAGGAAGAAUUAAAAUCCACUUGUCACCAGUUUAGAAUAUCUAGCAACCAUUUUAGAAUAUCAAGUAAAGAAGACCACUUUGUUACCUUUGUCAUUUUAAUUUCUUCUAAAAUUUUUCUUUUUCUGACUAGUAGGAGUUUUCUAAUAAUUACUUUUUUUGAGAUAUCAGUAUUUUUCAUGUUGGUUUAUCAAUUAUGGGCAUACUUGUAGUUUAGUCUCUGGCUCUUGUAUUAUUUGGAGUUCAUUGCUUCUUUUGUUUGUUUUUCUUUUUACUUCAUUUGAGAGUUUGUAUCUUUAUUUUUCAUUUUUUUGUAUAUCAAUGAAAAGUUUGUUUCUUGUUUAGUAAAGGUCUAAACAAUUGUAUCUGGUACUUCUUGUUCUUCAAUUUAUUUCUUGGUCAUUAUUAGUUGUCCAGUUGUGAUUUGUGAUCUAUUUUGUUAUUUUACUUUCCCUCGAAUGAAACUAUUUUUGUAGAUAAAGCUGAAUUAGUUGAAUGUCAUACAUGCAUGGUUUUUCCCUCAUUCAUCUACUUGAAGUUCCUUUAAGGAGGGCCAAAUAAGUUUGUUGCAUUUAUUAUUAUGAUGAAAGUCAGGUCAAUGUUGGGAAGAUGUGCAUUUAUUUUUCCCCAGAGUACUAGUUGCUUUCUGUUAAAGUUUCUUCUUAUGGUGACUUACUGACUUCCGUACUUACAGAGCCAAAAGCCGCGCCGUGAGGAGCUUCGUACUCAUAUUGCAAGUAUAUAUCGUACUGUUGCAGAGAAAAUCUGGCCUGGCAUGCUGGCCCGUAAAUCAGUUUUUCGUCGUCACUAUCUCAAGUUCAUUGAUGAAACAACCAAACAAAUCUUGACAGCACCUUUGGAGAGCUUUCAGGAAAUGCAACCUCUUCGUUAUUCACUUGCUUCUGUUCUGAGAUCCUUAGCCCCAGAAUUUGUUGAUUCAAGGUCAGAGAAGUUUGACCUUAGAACUAGAAAACGGUUAUUUGAUCUUCUACUCUCCUGGUCUGAUGAUACAGGCGGAACAUGGGGCCAGGAUGGGGUCAGCGAUUAUAGACGUGAAGUAGAACGUUACAAAUCUUCUCAACAUGCUCGGUCGAAAGAUUCAGUAGAUAAGAUAUCAUUUGAUAAAGAACUUAGUGAACAAAUUGAAGCAAUCCAGUGGGCCUCCAUGACUGCUAUGGCCUCACUCUUGUAUGGACCCUGCUUUGAUGAUAACGCGAGGAAAAUGAGUGGCAGGGUCAUUUCUUGGAUAAAUAGUCUUUUUAUUGAACCUGCACCUAGGGCUCCUUUUGGUUACUCACCAGCUGAUCCGAGAACUCCAUCAUACUCCAAGUCCGUCGAUGGUGGUCGUGGCACUGCUGGUCGUGAUAGGCAAAGAGGGGGUCACAACCGUGUCUCUUUAGCAAAAUUGGCUUUGAAGAAUCUCCUGAUAACAAAUUUGGACCUGUUUCCCGCUUGCAUUGAUCAGGUGAGUAUACCUUCUAUGACUUAUUGUUAAAAUUCAACUGUGAGCUCCUUAUAAAAGAAAAAGUUUAAAUUCAACCGAGUUCUCUUUUAAAGGUUAUAAAUUGAAAAGAGAGUUUUUGAUAGGAUAUUAGGAUGUGUCAGUAUUCAUACAUUUUGUGGAUAUUUUUGUGCUCUCAAAGGAAAAGGAAAAGGCUAAAACUCCAAGAAUGAAAUAUAAAGGGUUUUGAUUAUUGAGUUAUAAUGUUGAAACAAGAAUCAUAUGGUCAAGUGUAAGGAUUAUGAUUAUUGCUUGAUUUAUUAGAAUAUUGUAUGAAAAAUGACACUUUUGGUCUGAGGUUUGGUUUAACUGUUUAGGCUCUUCCAAACUCAACCAUUUUACUCAUGAGGUUUGCAUUUGGUAUCAUUCAUGGCUAAUUGGCUACUUUUCUAUUUCAGUGCUACUACUCCGAUGCUGCCAUAGCUGAUGGUUACUUCAGUGUUCUGGCAGAAGUAUAUAUGCGGCAAGAGAUACCAAAAUGUGAAAUCCAAAGGCUCUUAAGCUUAAUUCUGUACAAAGUUGUGGACCCUAGUAGACAAAUCCGUGAUGAUGCUCUUCAAAUGCUUGAAACUCUUUCUGUUCGCGAAUGGGCUGAAGAUGGCACUGAGGGGUCAGGGAGCUAUCGAGCAGCCGUUGUUGGUAACCUUCCUGAUUCGUACCAACAAUUUCAGUAUAAGCUCUCAUGUAAACUUGCAAAAGAUCACCCUGAAUUGAGUCAACUGCUUUGUGAGGAGAUAAUGCAAAGGCAACUUGAUGCAGUUGAUAUCAUAGCUCAACAUCAGGUUCUCACGUGCAUGGCUCCGUGGAUUGAGAACCUUAAUUUCUGGAAACUCAAAGACUCGGGUUGGAGUGAUAGACUUCUUAAAAGCCUUUACUAUGUCACGUGGCGGCAUGGGGAUCAGUUCCCAGAUGAAAUUGAAAAGCUCUGGAGCACGAUUGCUAGCAAACCAAGGAACAUUAGUCCUGUUCUGGAUUUCUUAAUUACCAAGGGAAUUGAAGAUUGUGAUUCUAAUGCAUCUGCAGAAAUAAGCGGUGCGUUUGCCACGUAUUUUUCAGUUGCAAAGCGUGUGAGUUUGUACUUAGCACGGAUAUGUCCUCAGCGUACUAUUGAUCACCUGGUCUACCAAUUGGCCCAGCGCAUGUUAGAAGAAAGCAUUGAGCUUGUUGGUUUGGGUUCCAAGGGAGAUUUGGGUGGAAACUUUGUGUUGGAAUUCUCUCAGGGGCCUCCAGUGGCCCAAGUUACUUCUGUUGUGGACAGCCAACCGCACAUGUCACCACUACUUGUACGUGGAUCCCUUGAUGGUCCGCUUAGGAAUGCUAGUGGGAGCUUAAGCUGGAGAACAGCUGGUGUAACUGGUCGAAGUGUCUCCGGCCCCCUAAGCCCAAUGCCUCCUGAGUUGAACGUUGUUCCAGUAAAUGCAGCAGGUCGAUCCGGCCAGCUACUUCCAGCUUUAGUAAAUAUGUCUGGCCCUUUAAUGGGUGUUAGAAGUUCAACGGGAACUAUACGCAGUCGACAUGUCUCCAGGGAUAGUGGUGACUAUCUCAUUGAUACGCCAAAUUCUGGUGAAGAUGGGCUUCAUUCUGGGGUUGCUGCUCAUGGGGUUAGUGCUAAAGAACUACAGUCUGCACUACAGGGUCAUCAGCAGCAUUCUCUUACACAUGCUGACAUAGCACUGAUCCUUCUUGCUGAAAUUGCAUAUGAGAACGAUGAAGAUUUCCGUGAGCACUUGCCUCUGUUAUUUCAUGUCACUUUUGUUUCGAUGGAUAGUUCAGAAGACAUUGUUCUAGAACACUGCCAGCAAUUGCUUGUUAAUCUACUAUAUUCACUUGCCGGCCGACACUUGGAACUUUAUGAAGUUGAAAACAAUGAUGGAGAGAACAAGCAACAGGUUGUGAGUCUGAUCAAGUAUGUUCAAUCAAAGCGUGGAAGCAUGAUGUGGGAGAAUGAAGACCCAUCUGUCGUGAGAACUGAACUUCCUAGUGCAGCACUUCUUUCUGCACUGGUUCAGAGUAUGGUGGAUGCGAUCUUCUUUCAAGGUGAUUUACGUGAGACUUGGGGGUCAGAGGCACUAAAAUGGGCCAUGGAAUGUACGUCACGUCACCUUGCUUGUCGCUCACACCAGAUAUACCGUGCACUGCGGCCAAGUGUUACAAGUGAUACCUGUGUAUCUCUCCUUCGCUGUCUACAUAGAUGUCUGGGAAAUCCUGUACCCCCUGUUUUAGGUUUCAUUAUGGAAAUCUUGUUGACCUUGCAGGUAAUGGUUGAGAACAUGGAGCCUGAAAAGGUGAUACUCUAUCCUCAACUCUUCUGGGGGUGUGUGGCUAUGAUGCAUACAGAUUUUGUCCAUGUAUACUGCCAGGUUCUUGAGCUCUUUUCUCGUGUGAUUGAUCGUUUAUCAUUCCGGGACAGAACAACUGAAAAUGUACUCCUUUCAAGCAUGCCUCGGGAUGAACUUGAUACUAAUAAUGACAUUGGAGACUUCCAACGAAUUGAAUCUAGAAUGGGCUAUGAGCUGCCUCCAUCUACUGGGAAUCUUCCAACAUUUGAAGGGGUGCAACCUCUUGUACUUAAAGGUCUGAUGUCCACGGUUAGUCAUGGUGUCUCAAUAGAGGUUCUUUCAAGAAUUACGGUGCACUCCUGUGAUUCCAUUUUUGGGGAUGCAGAAACAAGACUUUUGAUGCACAUCACUGGCCUACUCCCAUGGCUCUGCUUGCAACUCAGUAAGGAUCCACUGACAGGACCAGCUUCACCACUCCAGCAGCAACAUCAAAAAGCAUGCUCGGUUGCAUCAAAUAUUUCUAUAUGGUGUCGUGCAAAAUCAUUGGACGAAUUAGCUACUGUUUUCAUGGCAUACUCUCGAGGUGAGAUCAAAAGUAUUGAGAUCCUUCUUGCUUGUGUCUCCCCUCUACUUUGCAAUGAGUGGUUUCCAAAGCACUCUGCACUGGCUUUUGGUCACUUGUUGCGCUUGCUGGAGAAAGGACCAGUCGAAUACCAGCGUGUGAUACUGCUGAUGCUGAAGGCAUUACUCCAGCAUACUCCUGUAGAUGCUUCACAAAGUCCGCAUAUGUACGCAAUUGUCUCGCAGUUGGUUGAGAGUACAUUGUGCUGGGAGGCAUUGAGUGUAUUAGAAGCACUUUUACAGAGUUGUAGUUCAAUGACAGGUCCUCACCCACACGAACCAGGGUCCUUUGAAAAUGGACAUGGUGGAUCCGAGGAAAAGGUGCUAGUUCCCCAGACAUCGUUCAAAGCUCGCAGCGGACCCUUACAAUACGGCAUCGUGUCAACAUCAGCACCAGGUUCUAUUCUUGUGUCGGGGGUUUCAAAUGAAUCAGGACCUUCUCCAAGAGAGGUAGCUCUGCAAAAUACACGACUUAUUCUUGGGCGGGUUCUCGAUAGCUGCAUACUGGGAAAGAGGAGAGAAUAUAGAAGGUUGGUUCCUUUUGUCACAAGUAUUGGGAAUCCCUAACUCCACGUCUCUGUAAGUAACUUCUUUUAUGUAGAGGCAAUGUAUAUAUAUAUACACGUCAAGAAGUAGUUUUGUAGCUAGUGUUGAAUUAUAUUAUGUAGUUCUAGCAAGCUGAGAUUCUUUCCAUCUAUUUAAGCUUUGUAAAUGUACGUGUAUCUUCUUGCUUACAAUGUUAAUUUUUUCCUAUUUCUAUUUUCCCUUAAAAGCUGUUUGGUGAAUCACAAUUGGAUGUGUUUAUCCCGGAGUUUGACAUUCAUGUUUUGAUCAAAUGUUUUAGACUUGAUUUGUGAUACUAAGUUCAUUAUGCUUCGACAAUUCUUUCUGUCCGUUUUCACAUUUCAAGAUUUCAUUUCAGUUUUACCCUCAAUUUUUACGUGUUCCAACCGUUUUCAUAUUUUCAAUUAUAUGAUUACAAUUUAGCUCUCCACAAUAUCCCCAAAGAGUUAGUUUUACUUCAAAGACAAAUUCAGGUAUGAUGUGACUAGAACUUGACAAGUUGAGUGAGGAGAGAGGUUAUAUCCAAUAUUCUUAAACACCACACCACAAGACUAACAAAAGCUUCCUCCAUAAUGGUGUGUGCAAACUUGCUUUUCCAUUUGAUCAUGGUAAGACGACGUUAAACUAAAAUUCAAGAGUUGAAUAUUUUUUAAUUAUCUUUACCAUAUUAAAAGGAUGGGAGAAAUUUUUUUUUUUGGUCCCUUCUACCUAUUGAAAAUUCCAAUCAUAUUCAUAAUCAAACAUAGAUUCGUAGGUUACAUAUAGUAAGUAAAGGUUUCAAUUAAUAUUUGAUAUAUUUUAUGACUUAAUAAUAAACAAUUGAAAGUUUAAGUUUACAAAUUAAUCAAUGCACUUUUUAGUAGCCAUUAAAGUAAGUUGAAAAAGAUGAAAUCUCUUUACAUUCAAAACCCUUUAAAUUCUCUUUAACAUUUCAAAUUCUACAAAAAAAAAAAAAAAAAAGAAUAGAACAUCUUUCUCCUUCAUCCCUAUGAAUAGUUUCACAUAUUCUUAAGAAGUUUCAUUGCUAAACAAAGAAGAAUUGUAACAAUUGGUUUUGAUUCAAGAUAUAUCUCAAUCCUCUAUUCAAUUUUUUUAAAAAGAUAUUUAUAUACCAACUUAAAACUCGUGUUAAGAAAAAUGUGAUUGUUGUGAUUUUUUUGUGUGUUAGUUAGUCUCGUGAUAUGAUUUUGUUGUAUAAAAAGUUUUUUAUUGUUAAUAUUUAACAUCUUUUAUAUUAUCGAUUACGAAGUUUUAGAAUUGAUAUGUAAUAUGUCUCUUAAAACAUUACAAUACUUAGUACGCAAAUAUACGAUAUAACAUAAUUACACAUUUGAUUUCUUAAAAUGAAAUUAGUUAAGCUAAAUAUUUAUGACGUUACGAAAAAAAUAAAAUAGUAGAAAGAAUAAUUAAUAUCAAUUGAAACUCAACAACAUUUAAAUAAUUACAUGGUAUUGUGUUUGCGUAAAUGUUAUUAAAGGAACUAUAACAUUGGGUAAAUCCAUGAAAGAGAUGUUGUGCAUAUAUAUGAAAAUUGGACUGCUAAUGGUGUUAUUGAAAUAUGAACAAAUUGAUAUAGAAGUUAUUUUAUUUUAAAUGAAAGCAUAAAUGAAUGAAGUCCCACUAAUUAAUGCUAAAUUGACGAAACACAAAUGAUUAAUGAUAUUAAUUAAACUACUUAGAUUAAAAUGAAUGUUAAUAUUAUAAAGCACAUGGUUUAAGGUUUUACUCUCUCUUUAUACAUCAAAUUUGAAUACAAAUUAUUAUUAUUUUUUAUUUUUUAUUUAUUAUUUAAGAAAAGAAAAAAAAAAAAAAAUGUAAGAAAUUUAUGAAAACGUGACUUCGUCAAAAUCCCCAAAAACUUCCCCCAAAAUUUCAAUGGCUCUUUUCUUCUCCAUUUCUAAACUUCAUCUUCAACCUAACAUCAACAUGCCUCUCCCCGAUCAAACCCACAACAAUUCACCGUCGCCGGUGCCGUCAAUCCCUUCUCUACGCCGUGAAGAUUCCCCCAACCCCAUGGAUUUCAACCCUUUUGCCACCGUCCCCUCAAUCGUCACAUCUGCUGCUGCCGACGUUUCCCACCCUUUCGAGACCGAUUGGUUUUCCGACUCGGAUUCCGAAUCCGACCGUGAUGUUAGUUGUUUUGUCACUGAUCUUUUCGACAAUCGUAGCUUCACCGAUCCUUUACACGAUCACGAUCACGAUCACGAUGGAGCUUUGUUUUCUGUGCUAGACCCAUUUACGCAUUCUGUUAACGACUUGGGCGUUUCGGGAUUUGAAGGUAGCGGUGAGAUUGGAUCUAAUUAUGUUGAGGAGCUGUGGUCGACGUUCGGUGUUGAAUCUGAUACACGGGUUUCGGAGGUGGAUGUAAGCAUGCAAAUUGCGGAUUCUAUUACUACUGGCCUUCGUGUUGUUGAUGUGGAUUCGGAUUCGGAUUCUGAUCCUGGGAUUAUUGGUGCUUUGCAACUCGUGACAGGGGACGAUGUCGAGAAUGAUGGUAAUUGGGUUGAAAGUUCGAAUCCUGUCUCGGAUACCUUGAACCUUUGUUUUCAGGGUCAGAGGAUUUCGUACGAGGAUUUUGAAUGGGAGGAGGUUGAGGAGCGAGUGGAUGAAAGGGAAAUUUCGAGCGUAGUGGUUGAUAGAGCUGAAGAAUUGUCUCUUGCAUCGGGUUUUUCUAAUGAGGAAGAACCUGGAGAAGAGGUGGGUCGAUGGGAAAUCCUAUUUGUAAUGAACGAUAUCGGAAGGAAUAAUGAUGCUGAGGCGUAUAUAGCCGAUCAAGAUGAUUACAUGUAUGCAGCAGAAUACGAUACCCUUUUUGGGCAAUUCGUUGAAAAUGAUAAUGCUUUGAAGGGUAGUCCUCCGGCAGCUAAAAGUGCUGUGGAGAAUCUUCCUCUGGUUGAGUUAAAAACAGAGAAUACCCUGGCAGAGGAAGUCGUUGUUUGUGCUGUUUGUAAGGAUAAAUUUUCAAUGGAAGAGAAGGUGAGGAAGCUUCCCUGUGGUCACUAUUACCAUGAUGAUUGCAUUCUUCCAUGGCUGAAUAUUCGAAACACAUGCCCUGUUUGCCGGCAUGAGUUGCCAACAGAUGAUCCAGAUUAUGAGCGUAGGCAGAGUCAGAGGGCGAGUGGCGGCCUGCAAUCGGAUUUGCAGGUCAGGUACAAUUUUGAACUUAUAGCUUAAUACUAGUGCAAUAUGUGAAAUGCAACCUGUGAAUAGGGUCACUCUUAGAUGAAGAAAGUUUCUUACGAUUUUGCAUUUGUAAAGGUUUUGUGGUAAGUAUUUCUUUUAAAAAUUCUCUGCGUGGAAUGGAACUACUAGCAUUGCUGUUGAUACGCUCAAAUUGUCCUCAAAAGGUAUCCACUGUGAUUCAAUGCUUUGUAAGUUCUAGUCAUUAAUAGUAGGGGGAAAUUAUAUAUCUCUUACCCCUUUUUUUUUUUGAAAGAUCAUCUCUUACCUUUUUGAGUUCAAUUUAGGAAUUAUAAUGAUUCAGACACAAGACAUACUAAGUGCUGGCCUUUGAAAUUGUUUACCUGUGAAUGUAUAUUUUUAUAUGUUUGAGUAUAUGUUGGUAAACUUGUUAAAUUAGGAACCUCCUUUCGUAAACUUUAGUGUGGCGCAAUUGCUUGAUUUUGGGUCAAAAUAAUUCUGUGUUGAAGUAAGUUUAAUAGGACAUGGGGAGGAUGAUGCUUCUGUCAUCGGGUUUUGGUUAUUAAUAAUUACAUCCGGUUAUUGGAUAUAGAAAUCUUAAUGGACGUUAUUUAGCCCUUUGCGUGUGUUUCGGAUUGUUAUCUUCCCCCUAGUAUAUUAAAAGUAAUAUUUUUUCAUUGUGCUUGGCUACGCAUGAAAAAUUGUUUUAUGGUUGAAGAAACAUUUAGUUGUGUUUUUUUGGUUUUCCCCCUAAAUCGUUAGUGUGAAAGUGUUCUAAUUUAAAAUACUUCGAAGUCACUUUUAAUCAUUCAUGAUAUCAAUUGGGAUUAUAUUAAAUGAAGAUUUUGUUUUUGUAAAAAAAAUUAUCUCGAGAAAUGGCAUCUCUCUUAAUGAUUACUAAAGUGGUGUGGUAUGGAUCAUACAUUUUUAUAAAAUUAUUCUUUGUUGUCUUAACGUGUUUAGAAGCAGGUUUCUUUAUCAAACAAUCUUCCAAAGUCACAGACUUCUAAAUUCUGGUGUUAGCUAUUGUUGCAUUGCGUUUACCCGUGUUAUCUUAUUGUUCCCUUCUUUAAAAUCUCUCAGAAAUUGUUUUAUGAAUUAUUAUUAUGGUAUUAAUUUCUACAUCGUUUGCUUUUAUGACUUAUCAGAUCAUCCAUUGAUUAAUCGAUUUAGCUGUUCAACCAUGGGUUGACAUAUCAGUAAAUAAAUAGCACAAGUUCGAUAAAUGGCAAAAUUCACGGUGGACACUUACCCAGUGUCUACAAAUUUCUUUGACACCUAAAUAUGGUAAGGUUAGAUAGGCUAUCUCAAGAGAUUAUUCAAACACUCAUUGAUAUUAAUAAUAAUAAAAAGGAGAGAUUGAUAUAGCUGUUCAAAAAAGCAUGUGUUUCUUUCCUUGUCUAUAUGUUGUUUGUUGCUGCUAGAACACUAUAUAGACUGACAUUUUAAGUGGAGGAGUUGUGCCUGCAUUUCAUUCAUGGUCUAUAUAAUGUUUGGUGCAGCUAGAACAAAAUAUAGACCAUGGCAUUAUUAAACAGAAAGUGGGUUGUGCCUGCAUUUCAUUUAUGUUCUUAUGAUGUUUGCUGCUACUAGAACAUGAUAUAUACUACGGCAUAUAAUUAAAUUGAAGGUGUGCUCUGCCUGCAUUUCUUUCAAUGAUUUAUAUGAUGCUUGUUACUGCUAGAACACGAUAUAAACUAUGUCCUUGAACGGAGGGUGAGUUAUAUGGUAACAACUUUCAUCAUUUAUCCUCAUAUUCUAGAUCGUGUGAAUCGUCGAGGACCAUUACUUGUCAGUUGUUACCAAUGUUUUUAUCCAGAUUCCCCUUGCUCCCAAGUUUAGAUUCAAUGAUCUAUUUUGUUGUGUGGAACUCAUUCUUCUGAAUUGGAAAUUGAAUUUUAUCCCAUUUAUCUUUUUUUAUGUUCAUCAUUUCACGUCUUGGUGUAUUACUGGGAUUUUUGUCUAUAAAAGUUGGAUUGGAGUAUUCUUUUUCAGGUUAUAGAUAGUGAACAUAUGAGAAGUUAGCUAUUUAUUAUAGCUAUGUUGGUUAUGGAGUUGUUUGCUGUUUUGCUUUGUGGUGUGGUUAUGUUCAAAUCAAAUUCUUGUUUUUGAUGGGUUAAGCACUUCGAAAACUGCUGAGGAAACAUUCAUUUUCGCAUAUAUAAUUUGAAAUUUGAGAACCUUAAAUUUAAUGAAAUGCAUAAAUAUUUGUAAAUAAGUUGAACUCUUUUUUCUAAAAAAUAUAGUUUUUAGAUGUGUUUGGUGGCUAAUUUGGAAAUUUGUAUUUGGUACUUUUUGAAAAUUGGAUUUAAUUUAGAACACUCAAAUAUUCUAAAUUUGCUUGAUAUUGUGGAAUUGGUUGACCUUAUAGUCUAAAAUUUUGGCAAAAAUUUGUUUGAGUACUAUUUGGUAAAAGAAUUUAACGUUUGUUUACAAUAAUAUUUCAUUUAAUUAGAAGUAAUGAUACGAAAAUCAUUAUUUUAACAUCGAGUUCUUUUUUUUUUCUAUAUAUAAUAUUUAAAAAGUCUUCAUCGCUUUCAUAAAAGACAAAAUGUUUGGAAUAUAUUAAUUUAAUUAGGUUUGGGAGAAUGAGAAGAUUUCAGAUAAUUAUAAUUUAUAAUAUUGAUAUUAAUAUUAUAUAUAAAUAAAAAGAGAUAUUUGUAAUGAUAUGAAAUGAAAGCUCAAUUAUAUACUUACAUAUAUUCUAUGACUAAAUGUUAAGACAAACAUUUAAUCAUUGUUUUCUCCUUGUCUUUUUUUAAUAAUUGUUUAGAAAAAUUAGAAUUAAUCAUCGCUCGAAGUUGGUUUUUUAAUCAAAUUAUCAUCGAACUAAUUACGGUCAAUUUAGUAAAUAUUCAAACUGACCUUAACCAUCGAUGAGAAAAUGUCAGCCAAUAAGUUAUCUUUGAAAUACUUUUAAAAUUUCUCGAUUUAGAACUUUCCUAAACAGACAUCGAUCGACUGUCUUUAAAUCAUAUAUAAAAAGUUGUUCAAAAGAUCUAAAUCACCAAUUUAGCAACUUAAGCUGGUAUUUAAUUGGGGAGGAAAUAACGAAGUAGAGGCUUAAACUAAAGAGAUCAUCAAGCAACCUACUCUAAUAACAUCUUAAAUCACUAAUUUAACCCAGAAGCUCACAGGUAAAUGGUAAAAUUUAAUAUAAUAUCUAACCAGAGAUAAUCAAUUGAACGAUGUUAACUUUGGCGAUCAUUUCUAAGUUUGUAAACAACUAUAUAACAUCUAUUAAUUUAGUAGGUAUUAUAUAACAAAAUUGAUUUCUUACCCAAGAAGUGAAUCUUCAAGUAACUGUGUCAAUUGAAUCUCUCCCCGUUAUCUUGAUUAUGCUUUGAUGUGAUUUUAAAACUCUUAAAACAACUUUUACGUUAGCUUUUAGAAUUAAUUCUAAAAAUAUUUCUAACCGUUUAAAAUAAGUUUAACUAAAAAAACAUUUAGAAAUGUAAAGUUAAAAACCGAACAGAAAAUUAGAAGUGUAUUUAUUUUUUUCGCUUUUUUCGAUUGCUCGUUAGAGAAUUACGAUCAUCGGCUUUGAAGUGAGCCAAGUCUUUGUCUUAUUGUGAAUAAUAUAAUAUUUAGCUACAAUUUAUCGAUACUUGUUACUAUAGAAGAGAGCUUAAAGAGCAUUGAAGUUGAAAAAAGAAACAAAGAAAGGGGAUAUGCAUUUGAACAAACUUGAUCCCCAACGUUCGAACAUUUUAUUUUAUAUUGACAUAGAAACUAUCGUUGAACUAUACUAAUGUUACGUUAUGUGCAUGCAUGUACCGUUAUCACUACAAGAAAAAUCACUUUUUAAAAAAUCUAUUAAAUGUAUUAGCAACACGGUAAAUGAGCGUUGUUGUAAACGUUUUCAUUAUGACAUAGUAAGAAGGUUUAGUAACUGAUUCACCAUACACCGUUAACACACGACUUUCACCAACGCUCAUAUGUUUCUUAAAGUGUACUUUUAGCAACGUAUAUAAUAUGUCGCAAUUUGUUUUUUUUUAUUACAACCAUAUAUUAAUUGCAAGGUUGCUUUUAAAGUAUUUUUAGUAAGGUAAAAAAGUUGCUGCUAAGUAUAGAUCAUUUUAGAUCCUUGUAGGUAUCUUUUGAGACAUUUGAUAAAUGCCAGUAAAUGCACAGAUACGUGAACGUGCACAAAGAAAAUGAAACUAUUUCACAAACACGCUUGCAUACGUUAAUAAGCCAACUCUAGAAAUUCUUUCAGGUAAAUUUUUUUAGUAGAUUUAGGUAGCUAGCUUUAAAUAUAUAUAUUUUGCAUUUCUUUUUAGCUUCUUACCUAUUGAUUUUUGUCUCACUAGAGGAUCGUGUAAAGAGUUAUGCAAUGAUUAGUAAUAAAGACUUCACAUUUUUACUUGUCUCUAGGAAAACAUAUAUAUAUUUUUUUUGUAGGUUAGAAUCAAACCCCUGAUUCCAUCGUUGAUAAUAUAAUUUUUUUUUGUCAAUUAAACUAUAUUCAUGUUGAUAAAAGAAAUUGAACUCUUUGAGUGCAAACAAUUGCAAACUAUAGUCGUGGUUAUAACAUGAUGAAAUGUGUUUUCUCUUCGAUCGCUUACUUCCAACUUUAACGUGACUUUAAAUCCACAUCCAACUUAGAAAGAAAUGCUUUCAAAUCCUUGAUUCUUGAGUUCGAUUAUGAAAUACAUAAACCAAAUGAAAGCUAAACGAAGUAGUUAUGACCAAAAACGAAAAAGGAAUAAUGUAACGUAUUAAGAGUUAUAUUAAAGUAUUUUUUCCUAAAAAUUCCAAAUGUAUUAAAAUGAAUGCAAAUGUUUGUAGACUCAAAAUUUAUACUAUUGUUAAAGUUUAAAUGAAUGAAAUAAUUUCUUAAAAAUCCAAGGAAAACAAAAUAUAUAUAAAUAGGGGAAGAAAGAUGAUAAGAAGUGGUUAGCUAUCAAGUCAAAAGUUGCCAAAAUAAUGCUAUUGUGGUUAUAAUCAUCAAAGUUUGAUAGUGGAUUAAGACUUUAAUUAAUCCAAUUUUUGAUGAACAAAAGAAAUGGUUAAAGUGAUUGUCUUAAUCCAAAUUAAAAAUGCACUACCACUCCCUUAAAUGCACUUCUUACCACAUUCAUUCAUUCAUUGCACAUUCAAAUAUGGAAAUUUAAUCACAUCAAAGUUCAUAACUUACACAAUUAUGAGUUAAUUUAUUAGUGUGUAUAUUGAAGUGAAUAAAAAAUAUGUAAUAGAUUCCUUUUUAUUAGGACGAGUGAGAGAAAACCCUAUACAAAGAACUACAAAAAAAAAAAAAAGUAUCGAUUAAUAAUCAUCGAAAGACUACAUUUAGAUAAAAGUUUUGAGUGAUUUAUAACAUGAUAUAUAUAUCUACGAAGAUCCGCUGAUUAAUUCUAAUGAAUUUAUAAUAAGAGACAUGAAUAACACAUUUUCGUCAAAAUUUUUCCCCUUUCACUUAAAGGUCCAAUUUCAUCAAAUAUUAUUGACGGCUGACCAUCCACUUUCUUAAGAAAGUACAUAAUUACAUUUGACUUGUUAGAUAUUAAAGAUCGUCGUUUUGCCAAAAAAAUAAAAUAAUGAAUUAAAACGUGAUCUAUUCUUUCAUUUUCAAAAAUUAAAAUAUCGUCACCAACCUAAAAACUAAGGGAAGAAAAUUAAAUUUAAAACUUAUGUAACAUAAAGAAAAGAAAGAAUUAGGAGGAUGCAUUAUUUAAAUCUCCAUUUACCAUGUCCAAUAAUUGAACAACAAAUUAUAUUCUCUCAAAUUAAUUUUCUUUGAAAAGGUAUAUAAGAAAUGGGGAUGCAAAGCAGAAUAAAUAACAAAAGAUGGUUUGUGAAAAGGAAAAAAGGAAACUUGGGCAUAAUUUGUUUGAAGAACACUAUUGGAUGAAUAUGAAGGAAUAGAAAGGCAAUAGAAAUAAAAGCAUCUAAAAUAGGACAAACACUAUAAAGAUGUUUUGGGCAUUUUCUUCUCUCUCUCUAUAUAUAUUAUCUAAAUUAACCACCAAAUUAUACAAACCAACAAAGUUCAAAUAAUGUUCAUUUUGGACUCUAUCCUAUACUUUAUAGGACACCCACCACAAAAAAAAAAAAAAAAAAGAGAGAGAACAUCACCAAAUGCCAUUCAACAAAUACAUAUAUUGAGGUUGGUUUAAUGGGGUACAAUGAAAAGUUGCCCAUUUUCAUAAUAUAUUGUUUCUUCUUUCUUCAAUCUCUCUAUGCAAUUCUUUUCGGAUCAAAAUUCAUUGUACUGACAAUCUUUUUUAGUGAGUCGUUUGAGACAAUGAAUUGAGUUAUGAAAUUUGAAGUUGAUGUAUUGAGAUUAGAAAGUUUGUGUUUAAAGUAUAUAGCUAGAAGAUGAAGUUUCAAGAUAAAUAUACGAAUUAGAAAAAGAGAAAAGUAUGACGUUUCUCGAUGAUUGUGCAAAUUUUAACCAUUUUUAGUUGGUGGAUCAAAAGCAUAUCGUAUGUCUAAUUUUAGUCUAUACACUUUCAAAAACAAAUCACAAAAUGUAAAUAAAAUCCAAAAUUUAGUAAGAAAAUGGUAAUAAAUAAGGAAUAAAAAAAGCAAUAAAGAAACUAAAUUUAAGAUUGAUUGAAAUGGAACAAAAUUGUAAAGUACGGAGAUAAAAACGUACGUCUUUUAGAAAAGAAAACAUGAAUAGACAAGUUGAGCAAUAGGAAGGGUAGGAGGUAGGGGGGGGUGGUGGCACUAAGCCAUGCGCACUUUGCCCCCACAAGUUUUCAUCUAUCAUCACCUUCUCUCUUGUCUUAAUCUCUCUAUUUUUAUUUGCCUUUUUUCUUUUCUUUGCUUCCUCCAUCAUCCUUCUUAACAUAAUCUUCUUUUCCCCAUCAAUUUUUUUUUGUCACUUUUGUAUAUAAUGGAUUAGUCCAAGUACCCUUUUAAUAUAUAUAUAUAUUAUUCCAUACGAUAUUGAUUCAUAAAGCUUCAAAGUAGAGAGAAAAGGAGAAAGAAAAGAUUGGUUAAUCAAGUUCGUGUACAUUUGUGUAUUGCUUUUAGUGAAAUAACAAGUCUCUAAUUCGAUUCAAUCAUUUAGUUAGGUCUACUGCUAACAUAUACGUCAAAAGACAUAUGGUUCACCAAAAUAUUGGUAUAACUCUAAGUUACGCACGUUUGAUCAACUUUAUCUCAAACUAUUAGUUUGGUUAUAUUAUUAAAAGACUCUUAUAGACAAUCUAAUCUCGUGCAUACCAUUUUUCUUAAUAAUAAUAUUAUUUUUCUAUCGAGUGUUGCCUACUUGCACAAAAGAGAAUGGCAGUGCAUACUGCAGUCAGACUCUUUUUUCCCUAUACUUGUAACCUAUUCCUUUUAGGGUAAUCCAAAAUCUACAAAAUCAAGCUUAUUGACACCUUAAGCCAUAGAUCUAACAAAACACUGUCAAAUUUGAGAAGUGCUUCUAAGUGACAAAAACAACUUCAUGGUAAUAGUGAACUAUUCUCUAGCUUCACUUUAAAGUUGUACAAAAAUCCAUGAAUUCACCAUGUAAAGGAUCACAUAGUAUAUAGAUAUCCAUAAUGUGAUGUACACUACAAGUACAAUUGCAAAAAUGACAGAACAAAUGAAGUUUCUGAUACAAUUGGACAGGAAAACAUACUGAAAUCUGUACUUUCUACUCAAAUAUCAAACAAGCUUUAAGAUGAGUGAAGGAGAGAAAAAGAGACAAAGAGAGAGAGAGAGAUGGUCAAAAUCUUUCUAAUGACAAUGUUGACUAAGCUGUCCACUCAAUCAGACAAGAGCCUCAAGUGUGGGGAAGCAGCAAUUUUUUUUACUUUUGUUUUUCAAGUUGCUCUUUUUCUUCUCCAGUAAAGAUUAUGGUAUUACAUGAAUCAAAGAAAAGCUCUUUAUUGAGUGGAAGACUAACUUUCAAAGCAAGUACACAAUUACUUGCAAGUGUGGCUAUUUCUCUCCACCAAUCAGACAAGAUUUUUCACUCUGAAAGUAACUUUUUACCUUGUUUGAGUUGAGUGUGGUUAGGACCUCAGCUACUCUCUACGUUUUUUUAGCAGCUAGCUAGCAAAUUGUGAGCUCAGAUUUGACCAGAUUUUAAAAAUAACAUGCUUGAUUGAAGCAAUCUUAUACGGUUGGCCAAUACUUUUUUCUAAGCUUAACAUUGAAAAACUCCGGCAUCUACUGUCCCUCGCUCAGAUCACAUAAACUUCACAAUGAUUGAAGUAACAAGACUAAGAAAUGAUGAACUAAGGUAAAGUUUAUGAGUUUAUCUUAUUUCCCCAAAAUCAUCUAUUCAACAAUACAUUCGUGAAAGAAAAAAUGCUUUAUACAAAGGGGUGUUGGGUGUCGACAACUUUUAUGUGACGUCAACUAGGACUCUUAUUGUUAUGAAAUCGACAAAUAAAGAAAAUAAAAAACGUAAGACAUAAAGCAAUAAAGAAUUGACACACAGAUAUAUGUGAUUCACUAAAGUGCAUUACUCAAGAGAAUUUAGAAUACAUAACACAUGCGUAAAUAAUGUGAAUUGCGAGCCCCUCACACUUGAUUGCUGGGAGUGCCAGAUAAUAGAUUCAAGAUAUUCGAACACUUAAUGAUGUGAGAUGACAGUGAAGUUUUCUACUGCGUCUAGAAUCUAGAUCUCCAUCAACUAUGAGAAUUCGUAUAUCAUGUUAAUUUUCCUAAAUAUUUAGAUAAGAUAUUUCAAUGUCUACUACUUUCAUGCAAUCAGAGAGUAUGAUUGUAUAGUUUCUCUGUGUAUAAAGAAACUAAAGAUCUUAAUUAUAGAAAAGUGCCUUCUUUCACCUCAACUUUUAAAUUUUGUCCUCAUGUUGAGGUCACAGUUGUCUUCAUUGUGCUAAACAAAUAUAUAUAGGGACUUGGUAAGAAAGUAGUGGUUAGAAAACAUAGACCUUUUUCUCUAAUUGUUUAAAGAGAAAUAUGAGACAAGAUGAGGCCACCAAUAAAAGAUUUGAGUACUCUGUUACUCUCAGCAGUGUUUUUAAAUGUAGUCCAUUUCAAGUGAUGCAAUAAAUAAGCCAGGGUUUAUCUAUCUUUACAAAACUUAAUUUAUAACUUUACAAAAAUAUAAUAUAAUAUGAUAGUGCCUUGAAAAAAAAAUUGAAGUUUUUUCAGCUACUUCUGCCUUUGUAGUGAUAUCCUCCCUCUUUUUCUUUCUCCUUUUCUAUCUUUUUGUGGGAAGGUGGGAGAAGGUUGAGUAUGCAUUUAAAAUUGUAGCCAUUAUCUUUAAUUAUUGCUCUGAAAUUCUAGGAUAAGUGUAAAUGAUUGGAUCAAAUUGCACUAAUAUAACCAAAAUAAACCUGAAGGGAGAAAAAGUAUCUGCCAAGAGAUUUGCAUCAGGUACACUUUGUAUUCUUACAGUCUUAUCCCAAAACUCAAGAAUUGAUGAAAGAAAAGGUUAAAAUGGUAGACGUAGAAUUAUACUAAGAUAAUUGGUAUCCGUACCUAUACAAUUCAGACACCAAGAAGAAAGAGACGUUACCUGUAAUAUAACCUCCCUUUCGUGUUAUGAUUGGUUCAAUCUCACUCAUAGCACUCAUGGGAGGUUGAUCAUAGUUUCUCUAUCAGGUUCUUGGCCAGAUUCCAUGUUUCUAUAUGGGUUUUGGUAUCAAAGACCUUUGUAAAUUAUCUUUUAGGUAGUAUCUUACUUAGUUGGAAACCCUCUCUUUAAAGGGAACUUACAAACUUGUUUUUUGUUGUCCAUGUAUUCUUUUUUUUUUCUCAAUAAAAGCAGUUGUUUCUAUCAAAAUAAAAAAAGACUCCGGGUCAAGUAAUUGGAGCUGAUUAUUUUUAAAUGGAAUUUAAACAUUGAACACUAUUGGGUAUUGUAGUUUCUUUUUGAGCUCUACCCUAUGAAAGUUGAUGAAUAGGGAUGUGAAAGAAGGCUUUACUUGCCUUGUCCAUCUUCUUUUUGCUUACAUCACUAGAUUGAAUUGUCUAGUAGAGAUACUUUUCUAAUCAUUCUACCAUAACAAUAAUUAUACCUCCCACAAUAUGUAUGCCUUCUCUGAUGUAAUCAAGAUAUGAUGUGAAAAAUUAUUCAGAAACAUAAUCAACUCUAAUGUGCGAGUAUAUAUGUGUGAAUCAUGCUUAUAUCACAAACACAUACUAAUAGACAUGAAGUAGUCGAAACAAGAAGGAAGGUACAAGAUAUAGUAUAGUACCUGGUCGAUCUCAUGACAUGAAAGCAAAGCAGCUGUGCCAUAACAGGACAUGGACAAGAUCUGCAUGAUAUUCAAGUGAUUCAACCUCUGAAAAGCUUUCUCAAAAUCACUCCAUGAUCCCAAGAGUGGGCCAAUGAAACCUUUUACUUGCUAUAAAGCACCUUCACCACCAAACUUCCCAUUCUCCCUAAACAUUGUCUUCUUCUCUUCCAAGAUCCAGUAAAGCUUUCAACAAAACCUUGAAAAUGCAGCCUGGUGAAGUCACAAGUCUCCAAUAUCUCAUCCCCUCCAAUUUAUCUCCGUAUGCUACUCACUUUCCCAUGGCACAGAACAACUUACCUACAAUCCAACUUAAUGAAUUCUCUAAUCCUUUAUAUAAUUUCCAAGGUCCUUCUCAAGUUCAUGAUUUUAGACAGCCGUGUUUGAGUAGCAAUUCAACUUCCGAUGAAGCAGAUGAGCAACAGCAAAGCCUUAUCAAUGAGAGGAAGCAGAGAAGGAUGAUAUCGAAUAGAGAGUCUGCACGACGGUCACGUAUGCGAAAACAGAAGCAUUUGGAUGAGCUAUGGUCUCAAGUGCUUUGGCUAAGGAAUGAGAACCAUCAGCUUAUUGAUAAGCUGAAUCAAGUCUCAGACUGUCAUGACAAGGUUGUUCAAGAAAAUGUUCAACUCAAAGAGCAGACUUCAGAACUUCGUCGAAUGCUUACAGAACUACAGGUCAAUGAUCAUUACCCCAGCUUCAGAGAACUUGAAAAAAUCCCCCCUAACUCACCAUCCGAGAGCUGAGUCUGCAGCAACCAGUCAUGACAAGUUAUAUAGAUAAAGCGAGGGUGAGGAGGAAAUUUUUUCCAGUCCCUUUCUCCAGUUAUGGUUCUUCCCACUUCAGUCUUUUCCUCCGUUCAGUCUGUAGCUUCAUGCACGUAAAGAAGAACUGCAAUAACUUCUGUUUGAGCAUCUUAGUUGAUUAAUGUAUAAUUAUGAUUUUUAUUUUUAGCAUCCAAAGACACCUUGGAGCUUCUGAACUUGAUCCAUAUAGAAACACAGCGAGAGAUCCAUCCUAAUCCUAUUUCAAAUAUAGUUCUAUAAACUAAUGACAAACAAUUUACUAUCUAUACAACAAAAACAGGACAACAAAUUAAGGGCAAUGGUCCUUUGUCUAUCCACAAUUUGGUAUUUCAUUUGAGUGUGUUUUAAUGAAAUUAAGAGCCUUUGGGAGGAUUAUCAGGAUAGUUUCCGUCCAUUUGGCUUCCUCUUGAAACGAAUUUGCUGAAGCUUUUUGCAGCUAUCUCAUCUCUUUGUUUAGCUGACUGCAUAUUGUUUUUGUAGAUUCUUUGAGAUUAUUUUUUCAGCUGCCCCUUCCUUUUGUACAUUUUACCUUUUCCAAUGAAUUUGCUUAAAAAUUUGAAGUGUUUAAGAAGAAACCAGCACAGGAAGUUUUUUCUUCAAAAUAACUACGAUGACUAAGUUUCAUAUCGUGCAGUGAAGAUAGUAGUAGUUGUUCCUGAUGUUGAAUGUACUGAACAGGGAAAGCAACGAGCAGCAUGGAUUGGAUUUCUUAUAAGUGGUGGUGGAUGGAACUGGUUAUAAUCUUUAAAAAUUAGGAACCGCUUGGAUUGAUUUCUAACACUUUUUUGCACUUAGAAAUACUCAUUUAAUUACUUAGAAAGACAAUCUAUACACACCCUAAAUGAACAAAAAGAUAUCCAAUGAAAUUUUGAGCACUACUGACAGCUUUUUGAGAGCCUUCGUGUUUGUGAAUAGACCAGAGCAAUAUGUCAAAAACUUUUACAUAGGACCCAGAGUAGUCUUCUGUUGACCGUUGACUACCUCUCUUUUUCUUUUAAAUCCUUUUAUAAAACAGAACCUUUUCACCUUUUGUUUCUUUAACACAUUCUUUAGCACCAACUGCCAAUUUCCAAAAAUAUAAACCAAUGCCGAAUUCUGAUAUUGUACAACUACUAAUCCUCACAAUUCAGAUGCUAUAGGACCAAACAGAUCCAAUAAGAACUGACAAAUUCAAAGGAAAACCAGCCACUUCUUGUUGUACUCCAAAGAUUUGAGCACAAGAAAAUUGAGAAGAUAAAUCCAUUGCCUUCCCAAAGAAGAUUUUUUCCCCAUAAUCUUUUCUACACUUCCAUAACUUUUUGAUGAAGGCUCCUAUAGCAGAGAUUAUCUUGCCUCUGGUUCCCUCUUUCUCACAAUUCUUCCAUUAACUACCUUAAGAGCAAGGGGAAAGUAAAGUGUUUUAUCAUCAUACUCAUAUCACCCUAUUACAUCCAACAUAAUCUAUUUUUAUGUCUCCAACACACUGCCACUAUGAAGAGAUUCUCUAGUUCACUUUUACAUAAUACUAUCCCACAAACUGUGUAGGAAAUGCUCGAGCUUUUCUUAAUUUAUUCACUCUGAUACAUUACCUCCUCAUCCAAAUUACUAAUCAAGAUCUACAACAACACAAAAUUAUGAAAUGUUAUGUACACAAUUUGAUUGGUCAAAGAGUCAUUCACACUUGACAUACACAAGGAGUGAAUUUGCAGAAAAUCCUAUUUUCUGUUGUUUGGGGAGAGAGAAUUACUUUGUUAAAUUGAAUGAGCUUUUAUCAUUAUUUCAGUCAAUUUUUGGCCUAAAAGUUAAUAGGAAAAAACGCUUCAAGAACUGAAAGGUCUAAAUGAUCAAAUCUUCAACGUAGACUUCAACAGUACUCCCUCUAAGUUGAAUGUUUGGGCUCCAAAGAGUAGAGCUUUCAGGACUCCAAUUUUGGAAAAAGGUCCAAAAGCGUCUAUCAUAUUGGAAAAGAGCUUUUUUCUCCAAGGGAAGACAACUUGAUGCUGAGUGGAAUUCUGAUGUACUUCCUUUCUUUGUUUAAAAUCUCUAGCUCAAUGAGCAAAAUGUUAGAGAAAAACAAGUUAAGACUUUUUCAUGGAAGGGGUGUUGAUGAGGAAGGCCUCGCACUUGGUUAAUUGAGAUACAAUUUUGAAGUUUAUGAACCUUGGGAGAUAGGUAUCAAUAAUUUGAGAUUGAGUGAUUCGUCAUCAGUAAGUAGCUGUGUUGCUUCUUUAUAAAGCCAAACACAUUGUGGAAUAAGAUCAUUGUGAGUGAAUCCAGUCCUCACCUUGUUAAAUGGGUUUCAAGUUUCAACUUUCAAGUUAUGGUCUUUAGGACUGCUUCAACAAACCCCUGGUAUUACUAUUUUUGCAAGUUUUCUUUCCUUCUCUUAGUUUGUGAAAUGUUCCAUUGGGACAUCUCAUACACAUCUUUUGGAGAAAGAAUGAUUACUUCCUCCCUAUUUCCUGUUUGAUCCUCAUAGUACAGGAGUUGAUAGACUUCUUGCUUGCCAUCAGUUUCAAAUCUAGGAGCUCUAAGACCAAUUUGGUGUAACCAGAUGCUCAAGUUUUAUUCAAAGUCAUCAAAAGUUCUCUUUAAUAAGAAAUUCAUGGUAUUUAAACAUACCGGCUGGCACAAAAAACCCCAACAGCAUACAUAUGAACUUAAUUUGCACAGUGACAACACUCAACUCGUGGCAAAGCUAAACAUAGAAGGUCUCAUCAAAUUUAAUCUAAUCAAGUACAUUUCUAAUCUCAUAGCCCCUUGAUGAAAUUUUAAGGGAUAAUGUGCCACCUUCCGUAUUAAGGUACAUUAUAGAAAAUCCACCAAGAAUUUAAUCCAUUUUCACUGUUCCAUUUGAAAGCUCGGAAUAGUUUAAGCUGUUGCGGGUGAAAAUAUGGCCAAGUGUCUUGACCCAUAGGGAUCAACCAUAAGGGCUAAAGAGACCAACUCCACAAGUUGGAUCAAAAGAUCAAUAAACAAUCACUUGGCUUACUAAUCUCUAGAAUGGGUGAAUUCAGACACAUGUGUUCAUCUAUUAGGCCAAAGGUAUGUCUGAAUUCACUAAUUCCUGCGAUAAAUUAGCCAAGUGACCGUUACAAAAUCAAUUUUCUAUAUAAUCAAAAGAGCUUGAGUAAUAUGAGGUACUCCCAAAUACAUCUUGUAUUAUCUACUCUCUAGCUAUAUCUUCAAAAGAUUACUAACUUGAUCGUCAGAGUGUUAACGGCCAAGCACUACACCAGUUCGAGUUUUCUUCUCUUGUCCAGAGCGAAGAUUCAAUUCCUCUAAAUUUCAGUAUAAAAUGGGCCAAUGGUAUUCAGAAUCCAUGAAUGAAAGCAUUGUUUUUCAGGACAUUUUUUUGAAAAGCAUUGUUUUUCAGGACUUUUUAGUUAAGAAUCCAGCAAACAAGUCUAGCAUAACUUAUCAUUAGUUUUCAUCUCAUGCUCGAGUUAAAAUCUUAAAAUCUACAUUGGGUUGAAAACAAAUCCAAGAAAAGAGCGGGAGAAAGAAUCUGGAAGAGCAAGAUUGCAAUCCAGCGUACAUCCAACAUAAGAACAAGCUAUCUUUCAAUAAAUCUUUUGUAUAAAAAGAAACCCACAAACAUGGAGAUCUAAAUGCACUUCUAAGACAUUGUAAUUUAAUUCUUCGUCCAUCAAAGAGGGAAAUCCAUACCUGAAAAUAUGCAGAUGAGAAAUGGGAAGUGUAUAAAAAAGGGAUUUUCUUCUUCUUUGUGAUGUUUGCUUACCAUCUUCUCCACCCACAAAUGAACUAACUUUUUGUUCUACCUUGCUUCAUAGUCAUAAAAAUUUGAGAUUUUGAAAACAACAAAGAGUAAUAUUUUCAAUAUGUCAUAAACAGUAGACCAAAUUUCAUUUAUAUUUGUAUCCUUAAGAAGAGAUCAUCAUAUGAAAAUUUUGAGAAAAGAAUGGAGAAGAACAAGCCAAUGACAAAACCAAAAAAUUAUACAUUUUUUUCAACUACAAUAUUUUUCUAAUUCCCUUUUCCGAUAGAAGUGUAUAAAUUACAUAUGGGAUGUUAAAAACCGAUCUAAACUAACCAAAUCGAAUCGAACCGAACCAAAUCGACCAAUUCGAUUCAAGUGGUUUUUCUGUUCAACUUUGUUAGCUUGAGUCUAAUGUUAACUAGAAAAGUAUAAUAAUAAAGAUCACCUUAUUUGACCUUUAUAUUUAAUUGUUUUGGUCAAAGAAUGUGAACUCAACUUUGGAUUGUUCGUGUGUAUACAAAAUGCAUUAUCAUAUUUGAAGAAGGUCUAGAAGUAUUCAAGGUGCUAAUGGAAAGAUUGGAAAAAUGUAAAAGGUAAGAAUUUUGAUCUUUGUCCCAUGUCAACUCUUUUCCAUUUUGAAUUGUGUAAUCUACGUUUGAAAAUGAAGUUUCAAACUCACCUUUUUUGAAUUUAAAUUAUUAAUUGAGAAAAAUAGUAACAUCUAGACAUUUUUCUUAUUGUACUAUAUCUACUAAUACUUUCACAUUUAAAUCUUAUUUUUACUAUCUAUUAAAACUCUUAUUUCAACUCAAAGGCCAAUAUGGUUAUUAGAACACUCCACGAAGAUUCACAAACAAAUAAGGAAGCAACAACAAGAGCAAACUCAUCAACCUUGAACUUGUUCUUCCUAUGUUAGAUGAAAAGAAUCAAGCUCCCAAUGUACAUGUCAAUAGUGAAAUAAACAUUGACGUAGAAUGAAAUUAUUGUACACAUUGGACUUGGGAUGAAACGGUAGAUGCAAUAUUUAGUUUUGCACCUAUGGAGGACAUCCCUAAUGAUGUUAAUGACUAUAGCACCAACAAAUUAAGGAAGCAAAUGGCAAGAGUGAGGCAUUUUUUGGGAGGGAAGAGACACCCUUGACACCCAAAAGAGAGCAAAUACCACAGUACAUCGCAACAAAGUAUCGUAAAUUGAUGUGUAAAAGAAAAUACCAAGUUCAGAAAUGAGGUCACUCUCUCCAUUGAACCAUUAUACAAUAAUUUUAACAAUACAAUAACCAACGAGAACAAGAAUGUAUAGUGGACAACCAUGCAGGGAUACCCUCCCAAAAAGCACACUCUCCAACCUUUCGACGACUAGGAACACCCACGACAAUCUAAAAAAGAAAUCAAAACCUUUGAAACAAUCAACUAGGCUAGCGAGUGCAUAACCAAAUUAAAAAAUCUUAGUCAUUUAGAAAAGACAAUCAAAAGAACAAAAACAAAAAAUAACACAUUAUUAGACAAAAGUCUUGGUUUAAAAAAUACAACCAUUUAUUUUCUUCAAAGCGACAAUAAUAUCAACCAAAUUAGAAUCUACACUAAGCAAACACGACGACAACGACACCAACACGACCCAAACCGAUCAAAUAGAGUUUGUUACCGUCUUAUCGACAAUCAUUUGAACAACUACGUCAAUCUAAAAUUAAAGUUUUUGUAGAUGGAAAGACAAAAUCUUAAUAUUUCUAAAUUGGUAUAUAAAAAUAAGAAAUAUGACGAAAGAUGACGAAAGUAUUAUGAUAGUUUUCACCAACCCCCUUUGUGAAAGGUUAAACACAACUUUUUUUACAAAUUCUGUUCACCUACCCUUCUCUUCUGCCCCCCAAGGCUGCUUUCUUUCUUUAUUCUAAAAUACUUCCAUUCUCCUAUAACCCUCAAAGUUGAUUAAAUUUUAAUUCUUGUAUGGAGAAAAAAAAAUUAAAAUUUUGGUAUGAAUAUAAACUAAAUUUAAGAUUUAUGGAAGGUAUAUAAUUAAAGCAAAACAAACUUCAAACUACAUGGAAAAAAGAAAAGGAAUUUGGUUGUUAUUUUUAUAUAUAUAAUUUAACAAAAUAAAUUUUAUUGGUUGAAUGUGUUUCUCCACUGGUGAGUCUCCAACUUUGACCUGCAAAGGGUCUAUAUAGCGAGUUUCACGAGCACCUAACCAAUAUCUGUGUAAUAAUUCCCAUUUUUCUUCCAUACCCACUUCGUUUGUUCAUCUUUGUCACAACCCCCGAUCUCUAAUUCUUGGGAAUUUGCCUCUUUCUCGAUCCAUUUCCACCGUAAUUGAGAAUAUUCAGGUUUGAUUUCUUCUGGGUUUUCAUUCUACUGUCUAACUUCAUUCUGCCCUUUAUGUGUUUGUUUCCUUCAAUGCGGUUUCUUACCUUUUGUUCGAUUUCAACGAUGAUUUACAAGUUAUAGAUGGAUGCUAAUUCUUAUGCUGUUGGUUUGAUCCACUGAUCUGCCUUUCAUUGGCAUAAGAGGAGAUUCUAGAUCUUGUGAUUUAUGGAUAUUAUUGUUAUAAUCAUGGAAGUUUUUCUUGUUGUUCUGCGGUAUAUGGUUGUUUUAUUGUUUGAGUGGUAAAUUGAGCAGAUUGUGAACUUUUUGGGUUUUAUGGUGAAAGCAUGAAAUAUUAAAUGUAGAGUUGCUGAAACAAAAUAGAGGUUUGUCAGACCUCUUUGUGAAUUCUUAAUGGUUAGGCUCCAUCUUAAGAGGCUAAGUCCAAAAAUUUAAGGCAGUCCUUUGUUAUUGUUACGAAGGACAAGAAAUAACAGAAGAGUUAUUUUAACUGAAUCAAGUUGGAAAGAAGUACUGCUACUUCAUGCUUCUUUCAAAAGCAGGUCAAAGUGCUUUAAAGUUUUUUUUUUUUUUAAUUUAUUUUUUCCUGAAUCAAAUUAAACUAGUGAUAGAAAGAAGUGUUUUUUAAUGGGUUAUUAUAACAUCAAUUUUAACCAUUCCAAAAGUUGCAUCAAAUUCAUACACAGUGUGAGUUUAAGAAUUUUGGGAGUUGUAAUUUUAAGUUAAUACUUCUUUUAAGGAAAUGUGCACUUUGCAUGUUGUGUUUGUUUUCGUAAGGGGUAUUUCUUUGACAAACGCAGCAACGACCCCUUAUGAAAACUAAACAACGGUGGUUGGUUUUUUCUUGUUCUUCUUACUUGGAUUUUACAGUAAGUUGUUGUAUUCGGAUCUAUAGCAAAGUAGAUAUCUGUUUUUAUCCGACACCUUACAAAUCUUGAAUGUGCCGCAGGUAAAAACAUGGCUGCUCCUGGAAAACCUACAAGGAUUGGUCUUGCUGGUUUGGCUGUAAUGGGUCAAAACUUGGCUCUCAACAUUGCAGAAAAAGGCUUCCCUAUUUCUGUAUAUAACCGAACAACCUCCAAAGUAGAUGAAACGGUUGAACGAGCAAAAGCUGAAGGAAACCUUCCUCUCUAUGGCUUCCAUGAUCCUGAAUCUUUUGUUCAAUCAAUUCAAAAACCUCGUGUCAUAAUCAUGCUUGUUAAAGCCGGGGCUCCAGUUGACCAAACCAUUAAAACCCUCUCUGCUUACUUGGAGAAAGGUGAUUGCAUUAUUGAUGGUGGUAAUGAAUGGUAUGAGAACACUGAGAGGAGAGAGAAAGCCAUGGGUGAAUUAGGUCUGCUCUACCUUGGAAUGGGAGUUUCAGGGGGUGAAGAAGGUGCUAGGAAUGGUCCUUCUUUGAUGCCUGGAGGAUCUUAUGAGGCCUUUAAGAACAUUGAGGACAUUCUCGUUAAGGUUGCAGCCCAAGUUCCCGACAGCGGUCCCUGUGUGACUUACAUUGGCAAAGGUGGAUCAGGUAACUUUGUCAAGAUGAUCCACAAUGGAAUAGAAUAUGGUGAUAUGCAGCUGAUUGCAGAAGCUUAUGAUGUUUUGAAAUCUGUGGGGAAGCUAUCAAAUGAGGAACUUCACCAAGUUUUCUCAGAAUGGAACAAAGGCGAGCUUCUAAGUUUCUUGGUUGAAAUCACUGCAGAUAUCUUCAGCAUCAAGGACGACAAAGCCGACGGCUAUUUAGUAGACAAAGUUUUGGACAAAACCGGUAUGAAGGGUACCGGUAAAUGGACUGUUCAACAAGCUGCUGACCUCUCAGUUGCUGUUCCUACCAUUGCUUCUUCUCUUGAUGCAAGGUUUCUUAGUGGUUUGAAAGAAGAGAGGGUCGAAGCAGCAAAAGUCUUUGGAUCAGGUCUUAAUGAUGUCUUGGUGCCUCAAGAAGUCGAUAAAGCAAAGUUGAUCGAUGACGUGAGACAAGCUCUUUAUGCAUCCAAAAUAUGCAGCUAUGCUCAAGGCAUGAAUUUGAUCCGUGCCAAGAGUAUUGAGAAGGGAUGGGAUUUGAAGUUGGGUGAACUUGCCCGGAUUUGGAAGGGAGGUUGUAUCAUCCGAGCCAUAUUUCUCGAUAGAAUCAAGAGGGCCUAUGAUCGAAAACCCGAUCUAGCCAAUCUUCUUGUGGAUACAGAAUUUGCUAAGGAAAUAAUCGAACGACAGUCAGCAUGGCGAAGAGUUGUAUGUUUGGCCAUCAACUCAGGUAUCAGCACCCCAGGAAUGUCCUCCAGUCUCGCUUACUUCGACAGCUACCGGAGGGAGAGAUUGCCCGCAAACUUAGUCCAAGCUCAAAGAGACUAUUUUGGCGCCCAUACAUAUGAAAGAACUGAUAUGGAAGGAUCUUUCCAUACCGAAUGGUUCAAGAUCGCCAAACAGCUUAAGAACUGAAAGUAUUCUUCGCCAUAAUCCCGAAAGGAAGAACAGUUUUUUAUUUUCAAUAAUCUUAGCUCUGUAAUGUUGUUGAUCGGAGCUGAUUUCAUGUUUUUGGGUGUCAGUUUGGUUACAUUACUUUGUUGUUCUGAGUUUCAGAGUUUGAAUAUGUUGUCUGAUAAGUUUAUGCAUAGAAUUUCCAUUUGAUUUUCUUCUUCCGAGAAAUGUUAAAAUUUGUGAGUUAUACUUCAACUCUUCAGCUUCUCCCAAGAAAAAAAAAAGAAACAGAUUUUCAAAAUUUGGCUAUGUUCAUGUUUGGUGGAAAUAGAUGUCUUUUGUUAAAUGGUGAAUUUUACUAAUUGACACUUUCCAAUCAAAAUUGGAUUAAAAACUAUAAAUAAUAGUUUUUUAAAACAGUUAGAAUUUGUUCAACAAUCCAACUCUUAAACUUAAAAAAAAUACAAAAAAAAUUGAGGGAAAAUAUGCUUAAUAUUAAAAAAAAACCACUAUAGAUUAAUAUGAAUUGUUAUUACAUAGAUAGUAAUCUAUCUUGAUCUAUCACGGUCAAUCGUAGAUAAACUAUAAUUUUUUGGUAUGUUUUUUAAAUAUUUCGGUUCAUUUUGCUAUAUUUAAAAAUAACCCUAAUUUUUAUUUUUAUUUUUUAAAAAAACACUAAAUUGUUAUGAGCCUUAAAGAGAUUACUAAAUACGUCUCUCCACCACCAAACUAAGAAGUUAUAACCAUUGUCCUUUUUGGUAUGAUCAUAAAACAUUUAGAUAUCAAAAAAACGUAUACAUCUAAGUAGGUGGCCUAUCUUCUCACUCGAGGUUCCUUCACUUUCACAAUGGAUAAGUAAGGAUUUCUUCCAUAGGAAGCUGAUAUUUCUUAGAGUUUUUAGCAAGUAAAGAGAAAAAGAUAAUGGAGGAUCAUCAUUUUCAUAACAAAAGGAAACACUUUUUCUCUCUUUCAUUUUUUGGUGAUCAACAAACACUCACAUAUUAUGCCUUAGCUUUUGAAUUUUAGACCCAAAAAGAAAAGAAAAAAAUUGUCUAGUGAUAUUGAAAUUAAAGAGAUCCAACUAAUCCAAACAGAACUCAAAUCACAUAAUAAAGUUGGUUGAAGAACACUAUUUUGAUAAUGGUAUCUUUAGUCUUGUUAUCCAUUUUAUACAUAUUGUGGAUAAUAUAUUUCAAAAGAAAAGUGAUCCAUCAUAUUCAAAUUUGAUUUAAAUUGGGUUAGAUGCUUAAUUAUAAUUGUUCAUAAAGUGAGUCAACCAAUUAACAACUUUAUAUAUUCAUCCUCCCAUUUACAUGUUAUCAUAGACCCUAUAAUGCCUGUUUUUCAUGCCACAUUCAUAUUCAUCAUUAGACUUUAAAGAUUCUUCUCCCUACCUAUUAUAUUUUCUAAAAAAAUUUAUUUCUAAUUGAAUUAUCAUAUAUAUACUCUUAGUUUUCAUUUCAAUUGACUUAAUUGCUAGACAUGUAUAUACGAAGACUUUUAAAUAUCUUGGUUUAGUUUUUGGUAUAUGAAAACAACAUAGACUUUUAAAUUUGAGUCGUUGAUGCCAAAAUUUGGGCAAUGGUAAUAGGCUUAACAUUCACAUUAUCACAACAAAAGUAGAUUUAUAAUAAGGAAAAGAACGUAAAUUAGAAGAUGGAAACACCUACGAAACACUUCACCACAUGCCACAUAAGGUUUGAUGCAAACAUAUUUGUAACAUGUAAGGAAUCUUAUUAGAAUAGACUUCCUUCAUUGAUGAUAUGUAUGGUUGACAUGAGUUUGCCUCUCACUAGAGUUUUGGAGUAGCUUUGAGAUAGCAUUUCAUCUUACGAAUCAUCUAUGGACGUGCCCUAUUUCGUGUUUUGGUCAGUCAAUAUAUGUUAAUCAACAUCUUGACUUUUGUUUAAACUGAGUUAAUCCUCAUUGUUAGGCUUAAAAUGAUUCUAUAGGUUCAACUUUUUAGUCCAUAUUCUUGUUAUCAUUUGACGUUGUGAUUUUGUUUUUGUUUUUUUUUUUUGUCAAUUAUAUAAUUUGGUUGAAAGUGACUAAUAAGAUAAUUAGUAAUGAAAUGGGUUUUGUGGGUAUUUGUAUGACUCUUUUUAAAAAGUAAAAUUCAAAAUUGAAAUGAAGGUAGCAUUGGAUUACUUUAUAACCUCCAAACAUUCUAAUUCCUCAUCCUUAGAAUUGCUUCUUUAGUGCAUCUUUGAACAAAGCCUUUAAUGUAGUCUACGUUGUAAUAAUGUUUUUCUCUUAAAUUUGAACUAAAAUCUCUCUUUAAUUUCAGUUCAUAGAUUUCAUCACCAUAUGAUUAAAUUUAAGAUUAAUUUGUUAAAAAGCAAAGAAAAUUAAAUUAAAUAAAAAUUAAAACGAAAAUGAAAAAAAAAAGAUAGUUUUUUACUAAAUAACUCACUUAAUUUCAAUUUUACUUAUCCAGGCUUUUACUCUUCAAUUAUUGUGUAUAUAUAUAUAAAAAAAAAGAAUAUAUGCAUGCAAAAAGAAAAAAGAAAACAUUAGCAUUUUAAAAAUACAGAUGAAUCGAUCAAUCAAACUAUAUAUACAAGUUAUAGAAAAAAUGUCUACAUUUUUUACCAUUCAAAUAAAUGUUGAUAGAAGCUUAUAAACGUUUAUUACUGUAUAAAAUGUUACAAAUUUGUCAUCGAAAAACUUUGAUAGAAAUUUUUUAAUGUUUGCCGGUAAUAGAAAUUGAUAAAAGUCUAUUAUUGAUACUACUAAUUAUAGAAUUAAAUUAAUAUAGGUCUAUCAUUGAUAGAAGUUGUUUAUGAAAAUAGUUUAACAUUUUCUCGUCGUAUAUUUGUUUAAAGAUACAACAUGUGGGCUUUAUUUGUCUAAAAUUUGCAACUUCAUGGUGCAAUUAAACAAACAUUAAAUUUAAAUGAUAGCUGCAAUCUUAACAAUUAGAUUCAAAAUAAUUAAGAAUAUAGCAACAUUUUAAUUUAUUUUUUUUAAAUAUAGUAAAUUAAAUUUAUCAAAAUCUACCAAUGAUAGAAGUCUAUCACUAAUAUACCAUGUUGUAAAAUCUAUUAGCAAUCGAAGUCUAUCACGGAUAAAUUUUGUUUAUAUUUGUAUUUUUUAGAUGGUGUUGUUAUAUAUUUAAUUAUUAUUCCUAAAAUUACUACCAAUUAUAAUUACCCUAAAUUUAAACUAUUAAGAAAAUAUUUUAAAUUUAAUUCGAUAAUAAAACAAUUAUAACUCUAAGACAUUUUUAAAAAUAACAAAAUAAAUUAAAAUAUUUACAAACUAUAUCAAAAUUUUGUAUUCUAUAUAGAAAACUAUCACGAUCUAUUAAUGUCAUGAAACAUAUAAGUGACUGUCAAUGUCUAUUAUUGAUAAAAUGUAAAAUUUUAGUAAAUAUUUUGUGAAAUUUGCUAUUUCGAAACAACAACCAAACAACAAAAUUUAUGCUAAGAUUAUACCAACUUAAUUCUAACAUCAUCACCAACAUAUAACAAUGAGAACGUAGUGAGCAACCUAAUUGGUAGCAUGAGGAUUUGGAAGAGAGAAACAGAGAGAUCUCAAAAGCUUCUCGUCACGACCCGAUCGAUCUUAACAACUAAUUUCUUUUUCACCUUCACAACAGUUUUGUUAAUCAAAUGCAACUUAAUAGAGAAGAGGGAGAUAUCAAGAGAAAAGAGAGAAAGAAGAAAGAAAUCAAAAAGUAAAUUUUGAUUCGACUUUUCCAAACAAAGUUUUCUAACUUUUUGCUGACAAAAACCCAAAUUUUUUUUCUACAUUUUCCAUUUCUAUUUAAACUUUGGUUUACUUUCUUACUCCACUGUUAGUUUUGAGAAAAAAUUUUCUAUAAUCAUCUAAUUUAAUAUGAUAUCUAAUAAUAAAACAGGAACAUAUAGUAAAACAAAUAAAACGAAAUUGAGAUAAAAAGAGAUAUCUAAUAUUUUAUACUCGAUUUCCAUGGAUUUACAUGUUCCCGCUGCAACAUUAAAAUUAGAAGGAAGCAAAAACGAAGAAGAUGGAUUUUCGAUCGAGAGAAAUGAGAGUAAUUAAACGGGUGGUGUAUUAGUAGCGGUAGCGAGGAAGGUGGGAGUGUGAUUUCCAGCCAUGAUGACGACGGUGGCGGUUGUGGCAGAAGGCGUAUCGAUCUUCAUGAUUUUCGGGUGUUCUUCGUAGGAAAAAGAGGAAGAAGAAGUAGGGCGUUUCCGGUAGGAACAAGCAAAUAAAAUCAAUGAGGUGAGGAUGAGAAGUAGAGUUAAGGCUAUUCCUCCGAAGAGAUAAGGAAUCGGAGUAUUCCAAAGGCGGCGGUGGUGGUGGUGGUGGUGGCCGGAAUUCAUGGGGACGCCGGCGACUAAUAAUCACCUCAUUCCUCUCUGUUAUUGUUUAUUGGUGAAAUGAAAAUGGAUUGUUUCAUCAAAUAUACAAUUAUUUAUAGAGCCCUCCUUAUGAAUAAAUUAUUGGAAGCCACCUCACAAAUAUCUCUAUACAUAUACAUAUAUAAAAUAUGGCUUGUAUGGGGUCACAAAUAGAGAAAUUUUA